This 53391-nucleotide long non-coding RNA is filed under the name Phaseolus vulgaris (common bean). RNAcentral's name for it is "long non-coding RNA (PVUL_LNC003669)". Lineage: Eukaryota; Viridiplantae; Streptophyta; Magnoliopsida; Fabales; Fabaceae. The record is from RNAcentral.
GGAUUUGGGCUGAUGAGUGGGGCUGGGGGACAGAAAAGGUGGUGAAAGGGAAGGAGAUUGCAAAGAAAAUCAAAGAGAUGAUGAGCAAUGAGUCUUUGAGGGUCAAAGCUGGAGAAAUGAAGGAGGCAGCAAAGAAGGCUUGUGUCGUUGGUGGGAGUUGUGAGGUUAUCAUUAAGAGACUAAUUGAGGAGUGGAAGAAGAAUGCUCAAGUCACCUGAGCAUUACCACUCAAUACUAUUUUGCCUAUUCACAAUAUUAAGUUAAGUUUAAGUGUGAAUUUGAAUUUCUGUUAGAAAAUAAUACAGUAGUAACAUCUAUUGCAUAAAGUAGUAUGCAAACAUAUACUCAAACUGUAAUUUAUGGUUACAUUUCCAAUUUGGUUGAGUGUUGGUGUUUAAUGCUUUUUAUUUCUUUGUUACAAAAUAUUCUGAGGGUGUGGAAAUUUAUCAGAAUCCGAAAUGUUUUAAGGUUUAAAUAGUGUUUAAUUGGUACAUAUCCACUUUAUUUCCUUUAGAUUUGCAAUUCAAGUAAUAAUUUUCAUGAUAAUUUAAAAAAAAAUAUGUAUAACAAAUCAUUUUAAAAGUAUAUAUCAAAAUAUUCAUUGUUGGAUGCAGAGGGUUGAGGUUGAAGUCUAUCUACUUGGCGAGGAAAAGAAGAACAAAGCAAGAGAUAUGGUUUGACUAAAGAAGAGAGUGUGGGUUUUGGUGUGAUGAAAGUGACUUUGCAACCAUAAUGAAGAAACAAUGCUGCUAUUCUGAGAAAUGGUUGAGGUGAACCAUAUCAGCUCUUGGAGGGAAAGCCACCUGAACAACAGGUUCAGAAGCAGGCAUUCUUUUGUUUGUAUGUAACUCAUUUAGACAACCAUUAGCAGUAACUAACAACCAUAAUAGUAGUGUUUAUUCUUCAAAGGAAAAUGCUUCUACGAAUAAAAUUUUCUUAGCGUAAAUAUAUUUUUAGGAGUUGACAUUCUUAGUUAAGAUUUUCUUACAAGAAAAUAACGACAAACAGAAACUAGAAACUUUAAAAAGACUCAAAAUAGAAGACACCUUGUUUAUUUGUUAUGUGUAGUUCAGUACAUGGAACUCAACUUGAGAAUAAUCUUGUAAGAAAAGUGCAAGUAGUGCAUUACACUUUACACACACUAAGAUUUGGAUAUUCAACGUUUAGGAUGGAACCCUCUGGAACUGCACUUUGUCUGGCUCAGAAGUUAGAGCUAAACGAUUACCAUAUUGAUCCUGAUAUAUUCCAAUAUCACUGCAUGGAUAGUUGCAAUAAUUGCACACACUUGGACAAUAAACCAUCUUGUAAGCAUCCUCGUACUUCUCAAUCUUGAACCAGUUGCUGAUGGUUUGAGAGCCAGGGUUGCCCAAAACACCACCAGUUGUUGUGACAAACCACUGUUAUGUUGAAUAAUCAUAGUCCUUAAGCUUCCACACUGUGGACUGUGGGCAACUUGUGCAGGUGGAGAAAUAGAUGUUGAGAUCAGUGGAAACGCAAAUCACACCUUUCUUAUCAUUAGCAGGUACAAAGCUCAAUUGCUUGCCUUGGUAACCAUCAACAGCUACAACAUCAAGAGGGCAAUUUUCACCUGUGACUAAGAGAGAAAGGCCACCUACAUCAGAUGAUGCUGGAACAAUGUAGUAAUUGUCACCAGCUCACCUUCUUCCCUGAUGUAUCCACAAUUUGCUCUGGUGCAGGACCUGCUUCUCCAACUGGUGCGUUGGUGCUCAAAGCAACCACUAGGACCAAUGUUACCAAUGUCAUCUUCAAUUUUCUGUGUUUAAUUUUUUUCUUCUUGUAACUCUUGUGAGAUGGAUAUGGAAGAAGAGGAAGAUUUACAUUUAUAUUAGCCGGGGAUGGAUCUAAAUCUAUGUACCCAUGUGCACCAAAGUCAUGGAUUUCUUCUCAUACAAUUGGCUUGUAUAUAAAGGUUCAAUUUUGUCAAAAAAAUUGUGUAGUUCACAAUGCUGUGAUUGACUAGAUUUAUAAGUUUCUGGUGAAGUUGUUGUUUGGUUUAUAUUCAAUCUUUCAGAGCCUAACUUCUUACACCAUGUUUAAGACUAGAGUGAAAAUGCUUGGUCUGUUUAGGAUGUAAAGUAAAAAGAAGCACAUAGAUUAGUGCAUUUCCAUUUUUUAAGCUCUGUAUUGUGAGAUUAAUGAAUAUCUUGCUUUACUCUUUUCUUUUCUUUAGCUUCAUUGUUCUUUUCUUCAAAUUUAUGCAGAUGGGGCAGAAAAAGAUGUUCCAGAAUCAAUAAUCAAAUAUUUUGUCUCCCUAACCCAGAACUCCAACUUUUUUGCAGAAAACCCAUAAUUCAGCAAAUUGUACAUGCAGUAUAUUUUAUGAGUAAAAAUCACUAAGCCUGCAGUUUUUUACAUUCCUUUAUCAUAGUCUUGUUUUAGCUUUUACAAUAACUAGUUAUAAUAAUAUUUUAUUGACUGAUAAAAUAAUUUUUAGAAAACCAGAAGAUCAUGUGGGGAGGUAUUUCUAGAAAACAAAAAUGUUCAAUAUUUUGGUUUACAGUAACAGAGUAUUAAUUUUGGUCUCUGUAAAAUAUUUUCUUUGAUUUUCAUCUCCAAAAUUUUCAAUCUCUAUUAUUUAUUUUUUGAUACGUGAAUAACAUUUAUUUUAUGAAUUAUAAGAUUCUUUUUUUCAAGUAACACACAUUAUUGUAUAACAUUACUAAUAUAUUUCACUUUAAAUACUUAUUUAACCUGUUAGUUAAUUAAUGUUACAUAAUAUAAAGAUAAAAUAUAUAUAUAUAUAUAUAUAUAUAUAUAUAAAUUUCGAUAACGUAAGUAUUGAUGCAAUCAUAGUAAUAAAAGAGGAAAUAAAAGAAAAAGAGAGAAAUACAUCAAACUUAAUUUUUGAAUGAUAAGAAUUUGAGAUCUCCACAUGAAAUAUUUUUUUUUAUCAGCAAUAACAUAUAUAUAAAUGCGAAUCACUUUAGGAGUGGAUCAACCAUUAUAUAAUAAAUACAUAAUCCAACUUCUAACCGUACCCUCCAAACUAAAUAGACAAAAACACAGUCCACUCUAAGAAAUGCAUGCUUCUGUAGAAAGAAUUUGAGAUCUCCAACGUCUUUUAACAUGAAAUGCUUGUGUAGAAAAGCUUUUGUUUGUAAAAUGACAUCAUUGAUGAUAAUGACAUUCACAUAUAUAAAAUUUGAAUUGUUCCUUUAGUGAAUUUGAAAUAAUCAAACUUAGAUUGUUUGUAAUCAUGAGAAAGUAAGGUAGUGCUGAAUUUGGUAAACCAACUCCUAGAAUCAUAUUCAUGAACAUGUAUAGAUUUGUUGUGUUUACAAAUAACAAAAGCUAGAGUGAUAUUUAUGAUAUUGUGUUUAUAUCCUUGAGGAAUUUGCAUAAAGAUUUCUUCCCUAAGGUUACCAUUGAAAAGAAAUAUUAUUGACGUCUAACUACUUUAGAUAUUAAUGUUGAGAUGCACCAAAGGACAAGAGUUGACAUCUAACUACAAAAUUAUUGACAUCUAACUACAAAAUAAUUAAAUAAAAAUUAAUUUUAAAGAUAAAAAAUAUUUAAUUGUUAUAUUUAUUAAAUUAAAUAUUAUAAUUAUAAAGAUUAUUGGUAUCUAAAUUAACUUCUAUCAGUGAUAAAUAAUUUUUAAAUUGAUAUAUAAUUAGAUACCAAGAUUUUAGAUGCUAACUUUAUAGUCUAAAUAAUUGAUAGUUAAAAUCUAGGUAGCUAAUUAGAUAUCAAUUUAAAAAUUAUUUAUAAAGAAUAUAAACUAAUUUAGGUACCAAUAAUUUUUUUAGUAUCUAAAAUAAUAUCUAAUUUAGUCAAUAUAAUAAUUAAUUAUCUUUUAUCUCUAAAACUAGUUUUUAAUCUUCAUUGUAGUGUGUCAUUCUAAUUAGUUAGGUAAAAGGGGAGUGAUGCUAAUUUUUUUUUUAUAUUAAUCUUAAGAAAUUUAUGUGUGUUUUAUUAGUUUUGUUUAUUUUCAAACUAUACAUUUUUUAUGUGUUUCAAUGAGACUUCUCUAUAAAGAUUUAUUACGGUUUGUAUUGUUUGCCUAAUUUCAAGCAACUUCAUUUUUUAUGUCUUUUUAUCUGACUUCUCUACCAAAAUUUAUUACUUUUUGCUUCGUUGCCUGAAUUCCAGUAACUUGAAUUUUUAAUGCGUCUCAAUUUUAACUUAUGUAUUAAAAAUUACUGUUUGCUUCAUUUAAUGAAUUCCCGCAACUUGCAUUUUUCAUUCGUCUCAAUUUUGUUUUAUGGAUUAAAAAUUAUAUUAGUUUCUCUGUUGUUUGAUUUCAAGAAACAUUCAUUUUUCAACCCUCUCAACAUCACUUAUAUAUCAAAAGUUAGAACUAUUUGCUUCGUUGUCAAAUUUCAAGAAACUUUCAUUUUCUAUGCUUCUAAAUCCGACUUCUCUAUCAAAAGUUAUGAAUUUACUUUGUUCUCUAAUUUCAAGAAUUUUUCAUUUUUUAUGUGUCUCAAUCUUACUUAAUCAAAAUUCAUUCUCUGAUUUCAAGCAACUUUUAUUUCUUAUGUCUCUCAAUGAGACUUCUCUAUAAAAAGUUAUUACGGUUAAUUUCAAACAACUUUCAUUAUUUGUGCCUUUCUAUCUGACUUCUCUAUCAAAAGCUAUUACUAUUUGCUUCGUUGCUUGAAUUCCCGAAAUGUGCAUUUUUCAUGCGUCUCAAUUUUGUUUUCUACAUUAAAAAAUAUAAUAGUUUGCUAUGUUUCCUGAAUUCCCACAACUUCUAUAUCAAAAGUUAAAACCAUUUGCUUCAUUGUCGAAUUUCAAGAAACUUUCACUUUCUAUGCUUCUUAAUUCGACUUCUCUAUCAAAAGUUAUGAAUAUUUACUUUGUUUUCUAAUUUCUGGCAUUUUUCAAUUUUUAUACGUCUCAAUCUAACUUCUAAAUCAAAACUUCUGACUAUUUUGCUUCAUUCUCUUAUUUCAAGAGACAUUUCUUUUUUAUGUGUCUCGAUGAGACUUCUCUAUAAAAAGUUAUUAUGAUUUGCUUUGUUUGCCUAAUUUCAAUCCACUUUCACUUUUUAUACCACUCUAUUCUACUUCUCUAUCAAAAGCUAUUAUUGUUUGCUUUGUUGCCUGAAUUCCCGCAACUUGCAUUUUUCAUACGUCACAAUUUUGACUUUUGUAUUAAAAAUUAUAAUAGUUUGCUUCAUUGCUUGAUUUCAAGCAACUUUCAUUUUUUAAGCCUUUCAAUAUCACUUCUUUAUCAAAAGUUAUAACCAUUUGCUUUGUUGUCGAAUUUCAAUAAACUUUCAUUUUCUACGCGUCUCAAUCCAACUUCUUACUCAAAAGUUAUGAAUGUUUCCAUUGUUGUACAAUUUCAAACAUUUUUCAUUUUUUAUGCGUCUCAAUUUGACUUCUUAAUCAAAACUUAUGACUGUUUUGCUUCAUUCUAUGAUUUUAAACAACUUUCAUUUUUUAUGUUUCUCAGACUUCUCUAUAAAAAGUUAUUACGGUUUUCUUUGUUUGCAUAAUUUCAAACCACUUUCAUUUUUUAGGCAUCUCUAUUCGAUUUCUCUAUCAAAAGUUAUUACUUUUUGUUUCGUUGCCUGAAUUUCAGCAACAUGCAUUUUUCAUGCAUCUCAAUUUUUCAAGCAACUUUCAUUUUUCAAGCCUCUCAGUAUCACUUCUUUAUCAAAAAAAGUUAUCACCAUUUGCUUUGUUGUCGAAUUUCAAGAAUCUUUCAUUUUCUAUGCGUCUCAAUCCGACUUUUGUAUCCAAAGUAAUGAAUGUUUACUUUGUUGUCUAAUUUCGGGCAUUUUUCAUUUUUUGUGUGUGUCUUAAUCUGACUCUUCAAUCAAAACUUAUGAUCGUUUUGCUUCAUUUUCUCAUUUUAAACAACUUUCAUCUUUUAUGUGUCUCAGUUAGACUUCUCUAUAAAAAGUUAUUAUGGUUUGUUUUGUUUGCCUAAUUUAAAACCUCUUUCAUUUUUUAUGCCUCUCUAUCCUACUUCUCUAUCAAAAGGUAUUACUGUUUGCUUCGUUUCCUGAAUUCUAGCAACUUGAAUUUUUCAUGGAUCUCAAUUUUGACUUCUCUAUUAAUAUUAUAACAGUUUGCUCCAUGGUCUGAUUUCAAGAAACUUUCAUUUUUUAAGCCUUUCUAUCUGACUUCUCUAUCUAAAGUUAUAACCAUUUGCUUUGUUGUCGAAUUUCAAGAAACUUUUAUUAUCUAUGUCUAUCAACCCGACUUUUGUAUCAAAAUAAUGAAUGUUUACUUUGUUGUCUAAUUUUAGGUGUUUUCUUUUUUUAUGUGUCUCAGUCUGACUUCGAAAUCAAAACUUAUAACUGUUUUGCUUCAUUCUCUGAUUUCAAGCAAAUUUCAUUUUUUGUGUCUGAAUGAGAUUUUUCUAAAAAAAUUUAUUAUAGUAUGCUUUGUUUGCCUAAUUUCAAACCACUUUCAUUUUUUAUGCCUUUGUAUCCGCCUUUUCUAUCAAAAGCUAUUUUUGUUUGCUUCGUUUCCUGAAUUCCAACAACUCCAUUUUUCAUGCGUCUCAAUUUUGACUUUCAUUUUAAAAAUUAUAAAAAUUUGUUUUGUUGUCAGAUUCCAAGCAACUUGAAUUUUUAAGGCUCUCAAACUCACUUCUUUAUCAAAAGUUAUAACCAUUUGCUUCGUUGUUGAAGUUCAGGAAACUUUCAUUUUCUAUGUGUCAAAAUCCAACUUUUUGUAUCUCAGUUAUGAAUGUUUACUUUGUUGUCUCAAUUUGACUUCUCAAUCAAAACUUAUGAUCGUUUUGCUUCAUUCUAUAAUUUCUAGCAACUUUCAUUUUUUAUGUGUCUUAAUGAGACUUCUCUAUAAAAAUUUAUUACAGUGUGCUUUGUUUGCCUAAUUUCAAACUAUUUUCAUUUUUUAUGCUUUUGUAUCUGACUUCUCUAUCAAAAGCUAUUUUUGUUUGCUUCGUUUCCUGAUUUCCAGCAACUUGCAUUUUUCAUGCGUCUCAAUUUUGACUUUUAUAUUAAAAAUAAUAACAGUUUGCUUUAUUGCCUGAUUCCAAGCAACUUGAAUUUUUUAAGUCUCUCAAUUUCACUUCUUUAUCAAAAGUUAUAACAAUUUGCUUUGUUGCUGAAGUUCAGGAAACUUUCAUUUUCUAUGUGUCUCAAUCCGACUUUUGUAUCAAAGUUAUGAAUGUUUACUUUGUUGUCUAAUUUAGGGCAUUUUUCCUUUUUUAUGCAUCUCAAUUUGACUUCUCAAUCAAAACUUAUGACCGUUUUGCUUCGUUCUCUGAUUUUAAGCAACUUUCAUUUUUUAUAUGUCUCAGUGAGACUUCUCUAUAAAAAGUUAUUGCGGUUUGCUUUGUUUUCCUAAUUUAAAACCACUUUCAUUUUUUAUGCAUCUCUAUCUAACUUCUCUAUCAAAAGCUAUUACUAUUUGAUUCGUUGCAUGAAUUCCAACAACUUGCAUUUUCAUGCGUCUCAUUUUUUACUUAUGUAUUAAAAAUUAUAACAGUUUGCUGUGUUGUCUGAUUUCAAGCAACUUUCAUUUUUCAAGUCUUUCAAUUCCACUUCUCUAUCAAAAGUUAUAACCAUUUGCUUCAUGGUCGAAUUUCAAGAAACUCUCAUUUUUUGUGCUUCUCAAUCCGACAAGGCCCCACCAAACUUAAGAAGGACCUCAGCAGAAGAAGAACUAGACAUAGGACAAAACCUCAAAUGUUCUUUCUUCUAGUCUUUUUAAAAGAUAAGUUUAUGUAAAUAAAUUGGGCUCACUUGGAGGGUCCAAAUAGGAGAAUAGCUAGAGUAGGGCUCACUUACCAUAAAUUGGGGUGUACUUAGCGUAAAUUGGGCUUGUGCCAAACCUACCUUUCAUGACAAGUUCUUCUAAGUUUAGGGUUUCUUUGACCUACCUUCUAGAAGGUUUCUCACAAAUGACACUCAUAAACCCUAACCCAAAACCCUAAAAUUUCACACAAUUGAAAUUGAAUAGAAAAUAAGUUGUUUGAGUGUUUAGUGAGCUUUGUCUCCUAAAGUUCUUGAGUCUUAUCUUGAGCGUGCAACACCUCAAGCGGCGGCUCCUUCACCACUCAUCUUGGAGUACCUCCUUCUCCAAGUGGCUUGACAACCUUCUUUCUUCCAUAAGCUUUCUUCAUCUCUUCCUCUUUUUAUCUUUCUUUUUGCAUCAUCCAUUCCAUUCAUCUUUAUGAUAUCAUGCUUGUCUUUUAAUUUUGGUUAUCAGUUGUCUUGGAUGCUGAGAUGACUGACUUAAUUGUGAAGUGUAUGUUAGUCACUCUAGAUAGGGUUUCUUGGAGUGCAAGGUAUGCUGGAACAGUGUUUUUCAGCAGUGUUUGUUGAAGUUCUUGAAGGGUUCAAGAGCUACUGUGUAUGCUGUAAUUGUUUGUAUCUGUUUUAGUGGAUUCUGUUGGGUUUAAUAGUGCCAAAGUUCAAGAGGGGGGGUGAAUUGACCUUUUAAAAUUUUCUCGCAGAACCAGUGAUUAACACAGUUUUACAGAAAAUAAAUCAAUUUAUGUAAAAAUGAACAGAUUUAUUUCAGCACUGUUUUUGUUUGAAAAGCUUUUAAUACAGCAAGAUUAAUCACAAGAUUAUGCAGAUAGAUUUUCCAGAUGCACAGACACAGAUAUCAGAUUGAAAAACAGUAAAACACAGAAAACAACAAACCUUAAUUCCAAUUAAUGUGAUUUAGAUUCAGUUAAGGGCUUGACAAUUUGUGAGACAAUCUAUCACAUACAACCUGUUUUAUUAGCCUUUAACAGAUUAUCAGUGUUCUUAUUGAAACCAGACAGUUUUCCAGAAAUUAAGAACAAUGUGCACAGCGCCCAGAAAGAACAGAUUUAUUUUCAAUUGAACAGAUUUAUUUCUUUACUGUUUUGUCAAUUAUGCAGAAACGAAAUUGCAGUGAGUGAGAGAGAAUGAACACAAGCAGUUAUACUGGUUCACUCAACUGAGCUACAUCCAGUCUUCACCAACAACAGGUGGAAAUCACUAAAACACAGUACAACCAAGUACAAUUCCCACUGUUCUUGAAACCUACAAGAACUUAGGUACUCUUGCUGAAAAAACCUAUUUCAGCACACACACACCCACUCUUCAAGAACACCUAUCAAGAAGAGUGUUCAACCAAACUAUUACAAGAAAUGAGAAGUGAAACGACUACACCUGAUUGAGGAUACAAAGAUCUGCCUUAAACCAGUAGGCAAGAUUGCUAGAACAGUAACUGCACCUCACACCAAGCUUUUGGAACCAAACCAAGAACAAGCACUUUUUUAUUUUUGAAAUCUUUGAAGAACAAAUGCUAAUCCUUUGUAAACUUUUAAUCCUCUGCUGUCAAAACUUGUUUUUGCAAAUGUAUGAACCGUUUGAAUGAGUAUUAAACUCAGAAACAAGUUUGCAUUUUAUAGAAAACCAACUUAUAACAGAUUUUUGAAAAACAGUUAAAGCUAUUAUAAAAUGAACAGAUUGAAAAUAAAAUGAACAGAUUUAUUUUCAAAAGCAGUUAGAGAAUUUGUUAAGUGAGGAGACUUUAGUCAACCAUUAUGGUGCUGAGAUAAAACUGAAAAUCGUUUAAGCUUGACAUGGCACCAGAGACAAAAAGAAUCUAUUCAUUUACAGAUGAACAAAUUUAUUUUUCAAAACGAAAACAGAGAAAGUUUAACUAUUUAAAACUCAGUCGUUUUGAAAGAUAGAAGACUUAGUCAAAAUACAUGAUGCACAAAAUCUAAUUUUUCCAAGACUUAGCCAAGGCAUCAGUGUAAAAAUGAAUCUGUUUAUUUAGAAAAGAACAGAUUUAUUUUUAUGCAGUAAACGUGUUUUUUUGUAAAACAUGUGAAAAACAGUUUAAGAAAACUUAUGCUUGUUCUUAUCACAUGGCCAGUGGCUAUGAGGUGAGUUACUCAGCAAAAAGCCCACUCUUAGACAACCUCUAAGCACUACCUAAGACACACUUAAAACAAAGCAAAAUACAAAUGAAAUGUACAUAAUAAGUCUUCAUCAAACACAAUCUUGAAGGAGCAGCAACCAUCUUCAACAGAUUCCACCUAAGAGUAAGGUGAACUGGAUGUAGCUCUUGAUGAGUGAACCAGUAUAAAAACUCUCUUGUCUUUCUCUUCUCAUCCCUACACUUGUUUCUGGUUUUUGCUUAAUUCUGUCAAGAACGAAAUCUAUUCGUUUGAAAUCAAAUCUGUUAAUUAUGGAUUUAAUAAAAACUGUUCUUCUUAAUCUGAACAAAAUUCUCUAAUCAUAAACAAAGCUUUUGAAUAUAAGUUUGUAAUUGAAUUAAGAACCAACAGGUUUCUUCAUAAAAAUCAUGUAAAAGAUUCAUUGCCUAUAAACACUUGUGUUGAAUAAAUUGGAUUGUUCUUUUAGUAUAGUGUGUGUUCUUCAAUACUUUUAAAAGUGAACCAAUCUGAUUUGGCUAUUUUUCACUAUUUGAUCUUAAUCCCAAUCUGGUGUAGUUGUUAGACUGUUUUGUAAAAAUCAAUCUGUUCAUUCUAAAAUCAAUCUGUUCUUUUACCCCUGAUAUACUGAAAACAGCUUGUGGUUGCGAAAACUUUAUAUGUUCAAUUCACCCCUCCCCUCUUGAACUUAGACAUUAAUAGACCCAACAAAAUCAUGUAGCCAUGUGUAUCUAUAUCGCUUACUAUGUGUAAACAUUAUAGGCAUCAAUGUUCUUUGUGUUCUUAGCUUUUUAUUUACAACUAGCUGGAAGCCAUUUUUUUCAUCUCUAUAGGUGAUGGAUAGGUUUUGAAGAACUACAUGUUUUCUUAUUGAUUCUAUCUUCUGUUUUCUCAUGUAGUUCAUUUACUUGACAUGCAAGAAAUGCAAGAAACUUGAAUUAUCUUUUGGUAACCAUAAUCUCUUGUGUUUUCUUGGAUUUUUAGGUGAUUCUUGCUGGUCAAUUCAGACCCCUGUCCUCAAUCAAAUCUUGCAUUUCAACUGUACCAUGCUGACUAAUCUUUAAGAGAGAUUUUUCAACCAACAAAAGACUAUGAUGUUUCAUGCUGUCAUCAUAAAGAGCAGGAAGCAUAUGUUCAAUCUUCUGUCAAAUUUUACAUAAUUUCAAGCAACAGCCAAUGUCAACAAAAACAUUAUUCUCUUCUCUAACCCAUAUUUGGUUGAUUCUUCUCUAACAUUAUGAAGAAAUAUGAGUCAUCAAAACGGGAAGUAAUAAAAUUAUAAACUGAUAGAGCAAGUGUUGUUUUUCCCUAUCCCACUGGAUCCCUAUCAGAACACCAGCAUCAUCAGAUCCUAAACACAUGAUAUUUCAUUUGAAAAAGCUUGAAUGAAUUUGAUGUUUUAAUUUUGUAUGAAUAAAUUAUUGUGUGAUUUAGUUCAGUUUCCAUUUUGCUCUUGAAUUGUUUAAUUGUCACUAAUUUUUUUGCUCUUGAAUUGUUUAAUUGUCACUAAUUUUUUUACAUGGCAAAGUUCCAAAACAAAGUUAUUAAGUAAGAAGUUUGUUUUGCAAUUAAAAACUACAUGCUCCAUCUCCAAUAUCAUUAAUGAAAUCCAUCUAAUAAUAUACUUUAUUUCUAAUAUGACUGUCUCUUAUUUUGAUAAAUUUAAACUCAUAUUUGUAUGUUUCAUUGAUGUAAAAAACUAUGCAGUUAUGUUACCAUGCAUAUCCACAUUCUUCUUCAACCAUGUAAGAAUUAAGUACGUAAAUCAUUCACCAUGUCCCACUUUCCACACAUUUUUUUUUUUCUAUGCAUUUCACUUCAAAUAUAUCCAACCAAACAUGAAGAGUACAACCAUUUUCUCAACCUCCAAAUUCAGUUCAAUAGUACAUAUACCUAACCAAACAUAACUAUAAUAACCAAACACAACGACAGUGAAUAAAGAAAGAGUCUUCUAUUUGGAGUCUUUUUAAAGUUUCUAGUUUCUCCUUGUCAAUAUUUACUUCUAAGGAAAAAUCUUUCCUAAGAUGUAAACUCCGAUUUUAUUACAUUAUACCAAAUUUGGUAAUGUAACCAAAUUACACUAAACCAAACACCCAAAAUAAACACUAAACCAAAUUGGAAAUGUAACCACAAAUUACAGUUUGAGUAUAUGUUUGCAUACUAUUUUAUGCAGUUGAGGUUACUACUGCAUUACUUUCUGACAUAAAUUCAAAUUCACACGUAAACUUAACUUAAUACUGUGAAUAGGCAAAAUAGUAUUGAGUGAUAAUGCUCAGGUGACUUGAGCAUUCUUCUUCCACUCCUCAAUUAGUCUCUUAAUGAUAACCUCACAACUCCCACNNNNNNNNNNNNNNNNNNNNNNNNNNNNNNNNNNNNNNNNNNNNNNNNNNNNNNNNNNNNNNNNNNNNNNNNNNNNNNNNNNNNNNNNNNNNNNNNNNNNNNNNNNNNNNNNNNNNNNNNNNNNNNNNNNNNNNNNNNNNNNNNNNNNNNNNNNNNNNNNNNNNNNNNNNNNNNNNNNNNNNNNNNNNNNNNNNNNNNNNNNNNNNNNNNNNNNNNNNNNNNNNNNNNCUCAGUUAUUGAGUUCCACCCUCCAUGACUCACAAACCCCCCCACUGCAGGGUGCCCCAGAAUCUUGAUCUGAUCCACAAACUCCUUCACAACCACACCCUUUUCCCUCACCUUACUCAUCAACUCACUCCCCAACACCUCCUCCAAACCCUCCUCCUCUUCUAUGUCAACCUUCUUCAACUUCACCACCCACAAAAAACUAUACCCGCAUUCUGUUAACCCCAAAGCCAUGUCCUUUAUCUGCUCCUUCCUUGUCUCAGUCCUGCUCCCCAAGCUAACAUACACCACAGACCCUUCAGCUUGUUCAUCAAGCCACUCCAGUAUCCAACUCAUGCAACCCCUUUGACCUUGAUCUACACUCUCAAACUCACACGCCAUUAAGGGGCCAAUUCCAUACACCGGGGGCAACCCUCUAACCACUUUUCCUUCAUUCAACGCUGCUAGUGCCUCUCCUUCCAGUUCCUCAAACGAGUUGAUGAAAACCCCAUCGAGCUUCGUGAGUUUGCAACUGUCCUCCAUGAUCAUUCUCUGAAAGGAGUUGCCACCUUGAAGAAGAAAAGCGGGAGGGACCGAUGAUCUUGGUAUUGGCGAUGUGAAACCCGGGAUUUGAACAGCAUCACCAACGAACGUAGAAGGGUGCGGUUGUGCAGCCGGAUCGGAAUCAGCAAGAACAGAAACGUAAGGAACACUGCUGCUAGUCUCAGACAUGGAUUGAGGUGACCCAUGCCAGCACUUGAGAGGAAACCCACAUGAACAGCAGCUUCAGGAACAGACAUUUUUUGUUGUGUUGGAUCCCAGAAUAGUAAGUGGUUGCUGUUGUGUGAUCAAGGAAGAGAAGAAGUUAGUUAAAAAUCUAAUCUUUACCAAACUCCUCAAAACUAUUAAAAUUUUAAUUGUUUAUGGACCUACCACCAAACUCUCCAAAAAAAAGUAUUAAUAGUUUAAUUGUUUAUGGACCUACCACCAAACAGUUUAUGGAUAUUGUGAUAUGUUGAAGUUAAAAUUUGGGUAUUUUUUUUUUUUUUAGUUUUUAUCUGUAUUUGCAAAUUUUUUUUAGGUGGAGUUGAGUCAAUCCUAGUUCGGUUGAAGUCGAAGUCGAGUCGUACUAAGUCCAUAUCGAGUUGAGUUGGUCUUGGUUCAGGACUAGUCGAGUCGAUCUAGAUCUAGAUCUAGUCGAGUCAGUCUAGAUCCAAGUCGAGUCGACUUCAAUCUAUGUCAAACCAAAUCAUUCUAUGUCAAGAUCGAGAUGGAUUUAAUCUAAUUGAUAAAGUGAAUUUAAUCUAUAUUUAAUUUUUUUAAAUAAAUUUAAAAAAAUCUAAAUAACUUUGAUCUUGUUAAAAUGGAUUUGAAUUUUAAAUCCAAUCCAUUUUAUUGGAUUUAGAUUUGAUUUUGAAAAAUCCAAUUUUGAAAAAUUCAAUCCAUAAGCACCCUAGUAUUUGAAAUAAGAAUCAAAGCAAGAAAUUUAAAUAAAUAAAAAAAAACCAUUGUGAAACUAAAGAUAAAUAAAAUGAUAUAAACAUAAUUUUAAUAAAGAGGACUGAGAUAAACUAAAAGAUAUAAAUAUAAAUAUAAUAAAAGAGACUAGUGUAACCGGAUAUAAAUCAAAUAACAUAAUAUAUAAUUAUAAAUCUAGUAAAGAGGAUUAACGUGUAUCUAGUAAUAAACUAAAUGACAUAUCUAGUAAUAAACUAAAUGACAUGACUAUAAAUUAAUAAAUAGACUAGUACAUAAUUAGAGAUAAAUUAAAUGAUAUAAUUAUAAAUAAAUAAAUAAAUAAAUAAAAAGAGUAAAUGUAUAACUUGAGAUAAAAGUAAAUAAUAGGAGUAUAAAAAAAUAAAAAAAGUAAAACAAUGUAUGGUUUUAAAAUAAACAAAAGGCUAAUAAAACACACAUAAAUUUCUUAAGAUUAAUAUAAAAAAGCAUCACUCCCCUUUUACCUAACUAAUUAGAAUGACACACUAGAGUGAAGGUUAAAAAAUAGUUUUAGAGAUAAAAGAUAAUUAAUUAUUAUAUUGACUAAAUUAAAUAUUAUUUUAGAGAUUAAAAAAAUUAUUGGUAUCUAAAUUAGUUUAUAUUUUUUAUAAAUAAUUUUUAAAUUGAUAUCUAAUUAGCUACCUAGAUUUUAACUACCAAUUAUUUAGAUUCUAAAGUUAACAUCUAAAAUCUUGGUAUCUAAUUAUAUAUCAAUUUAAAAAUUAUUUAUCACUAAUAGAAAUUAAUUUAGAUACCAAUAAUUUUUAUAAUAAUAAUAUUUAAUUUAAUCAAUAUAACAAAUAAAUAUUUUUAUCUCUAAAAUUAAUUUUUAUUGAAUAAUUUUGUAGUUAGAUGUCAAUAAUUUUGUAGUUAGAUGUCAACUCUUGUCCUUAGGUGCAUCUCAAUAUUAAUAUCUAGCGUAGUUAGACGUCAAAUAAUAUUUCUUUUCAAUGAUAACCUUAGGGAAGAAAUCUUUAUGCAAAUUCCUCAAGGAUAUAAACACAAUAUCAUAAAUAUCACUCUAGCUUUUGUUGUUUGUAAACACAACAAAUCUAUGCAUGUUCAUGAAUAUGAUUCAAGGAGUUGGUUUACCAAAUUCAGCAGUAACUUACUUUCUCAUGAUUACAAACAAUCUAAGUUUGAUUAUUUCAAAUUUACUAAAGGAACAAAUUCAAAUUUUAUAUAUGUGAAUGUCAUUAUCAUGGUUGGAUAUGAAGUCAGGAGCAAUUAGGUUGGGCUGUCUAAACACAUUUUUGUGAGUGCGCUUAAUUAUUGUGUCUCUUUUAUAAUCUCUGUUUAAAGAUAUCAUUAUACUUGUAAUUGGUGUGCAACAGGAUAAAAAUGAAAACCUAAUAGUUGUCCGUGUAGAUGUAGGUUGCAGUUGGCGACCGAACCACGUUAAAUCUUGUAUCGUUUAUUUGUCUGCAGUUGAUUCGUGAUUAUGUGUGUUACUUCCGCAUUUGUUUUUUCCAUCAAUCAUUUUACAAACGAAAACUUUUCUACACAAGCAUUUCAUGUUAAGAUCAUUUCAUGUUAAAAGAUCUUGGAGAUCUCAAAUUCUUUCUACACAAGCAUUUUAGGUUAAAAAGAUCUUGGAGAUCUCAAAUUCUUAUCAUUCAAAAAUUAAGUUUAAGGUUGAUGUAUUUCUCUCUUUUUCUUUUAUUUCCUCUUUAUUACUAUGAUUGCAUCAAUACUUACGUUAACGAAAUUUAGAAACUAUUUUUUUUUAUCUUUAUUAUUAUGUAACAUUAAUUAACUAACAGGUUAAAUAAGUAUUUAAAGUGAAAUAUAUUAGUAAUGUUAUACAAUAAUGUGUGUUACUUGAAAAAAAGAAUCUUAUGAUUCAUAAAAUAAAUGGUAUUCACGUAUCAAAAAAUAAAUAAUAGAGAUUGAAAUUUUUGGAGAUGAAAAUCAAAGAAAAUAUUUUACAGAGACCAAAAUUAAUAUUUUACACUACCUGAUCUCUAACCCUCCAAAUACUCUGUUACUGUAAACCAAAAUAUUGAACAUUUUUGUUUUCUAGAAAUCACCUCCCCCACAUGAUCUUGUGGUUUUCUAAAAAUUAUUUUAUCAGUCAAUAAAAUAUUAUUAUAACUAGUUAUUGUAAAAGCUAAAACAAGACUAUGAUAAAGGAAUGUAAAAACCUAUUUAGGGUUGUUAUACUUUGUCUUGACUUGAUAUAGAGCAACAGUUCCUGAAUUCCUUUUGAAUAAACAGAAAACCAUUUUGAAACAGCCUAUAAAAGUACAACUAUCCUUUUAUUCAUCAAGGAGAGUAACUUUCUGAAAUGAAGCAUUGAUAUGUAGUUGAUAACAUGUCAUUUAAAUCAUUCACAUAAAAUGUCUUCUUGAAUAGAAAUGAAUAGUAUAUAUGAAAUGAAACUUCCAAACCUAUUCCUAUGACCAUAAAAUAGAAAACAUGUAACUGUUGAAUAGAAAUAAGUAUGAAUUUGAAUAGAAACGAAGAACAUAUAUUAUUGUUGGGUGGUUAAGAUAUUGGUAGAUAUCGAGAUUUAAUUAUCAUUUAUGUUUUAGUAGUUAAGACAUUGGUAGAUACUGAGAUUUAAUUAUCAUUUAUGUAUUAGUUGGGAUUUUGUUAGCAGUUCUAUAAUCUAUUAAACUAUUAUCUGAGAUAUGAAUAAUAUAUAUACCUUGUUUACUUUUCUUAAUUGUUAUUGUUCUUGGUAUUCAUAUCACAACAGCUAACACUAAGUCUUCGGUGAUUCAACACGUCAAAACUAUGUCUGCUUCUGAAGCAGUUGUUCAUGUGGCUUUGCUCCCAAGUGCUGGCAUGGGUCACCUCAACCCAUGUCUGAGACUAGCAGCAGUGUUCCUCCGCCAUGGUUGCAAAGUCACUCUCAUCACUCCCAGACCCACUGUCUCUAUUGCUGAAUCAAAUUGACUUCAACCUUAUUCCAUUGGAUCCAACCACAGUUGCCCCCAACAUUGACCCUUUUUACCUUCAGUUUCAAACCAUUCGUCAUUCCAUUCACCUUCUAUAUCCAAUCCUAUCUUCACUCACAACACCACUUUCUGCUUUCAUCUACAAUGUUGCUUUAAUCUCCGCUGCAGUCACAAUUUCUGAGAAACUCUUUUGUCCCAGUUACAUGUACUUCCCCACGGCAGCUAGAAUGUUCUCUUUCACUGCAUACGUUUCUGUUCUUGCUGAUUCCGAUCCGGCUGCACAACCGCACCCUUCUACGUUCAUUGGUGAUGCUGUUCAAAUUCUGGGUUUCACAUCACCAAUACCUAGAUCAUCGGUCCCUACCGCUUUUCUUCUUCAAGGUAGCAACUCCUUUCAGAGAAUGAUCAUGGAGGACAGUCGCAAACUCACCAAGCUCGAUGGGGUUUUCAUCAACUCCUUUGAGGAACUGGAAGGAGAGGCACUAGCAGCGUUGAAUGAAGGAAAAGUGGUUAGAGGGUUGCCCCCGGUGUAUGGAAUUGGUCCCUUAAUGGCCUGUGAGUUUGAGAAUGUGGAUCAAGGUCAAAAGGGUUGCAUGAGUUGGGUACUGGAGUGGCUUGAUGAACAAGCUGAAGGGUCGGUGGUGUAUGUUAGCUUGGGGAGCAGGACUGAGACAAGGAAGGAGCAGAUAAAGGACAUGGCUUUGGGGUUAAUAGAAUGUGGGUAUGGUUUUUUGUGGGUGGUGAAGUUGAAGAGGGUUGACAGAGAAGAGGAGGAGGAUUUGGGGGAUGUGUUGGGGAGUGAAUUGAUGAGUAAGGUGAGGGAAAAAGGUGUGGUUGUGAAGGAGUUUGUUGAUCAGAUCAAGAUUCUGGGGCACCCUGCAGUGGGGGGGUCUGUGAGUCAUGGAGGGUGGAACUCAAUAAAUGAGACACUGUGGGAGGGAAAGCCUAUUCUGACAUGGCCUCAGCUUGGGGAUCAGAAGAUGACAGCAGAAGCCAUAAGGAUGAGUGGGGUGGGGAUUUGGGCUGAUGAGUGGGGGUGGGGGACAGAAAAGGUGGUGAAAGGGAAGGAGAUUGCAAAGAAAAUCAAAGAGAUGAUGAGCAAUGAGUCUUUGAGGGUCAAAGCUGGAGAAAUGAAGGAGGCAGCCAGGAAGGCUUGUGGUGUUGGUGGGAGUUGUGAGGUUAUCAUUAAGAGACUAAUUGAGGAGUGGAAGAAGAAUGCUCAAGUCACCUGAGCAUUACCACUGAAUACUAUGUUGCCUGUUCACAAUAUUAAGUGAAGUUUAAGUGUGAAUUUGAAUUUCUGUAAUAUAGUAGUGUACUGUCUAGGCCGAAAGGUUGUAUUGAAAGUCUCGACCGAAAGGUUGUACCGAAAGUCUCGACCGAAAGGUUGUACCGAAAGUCUCAACCGAAAGGUUAAAUAUAAAAAGUAAAUAAGUAAAAUUAAAUUAGUGAUUAUAGCAAAGUCCAUAAGAUGGACCCAAAUAUACAGGUGUGUUUUUGAAAUGUUAGGUGCAAAAAGAAAAGACCCAAGUAACUCUUAAGCCUAAUAAGAGAGCCUUAUAAAUAGAGGUUCAACUCAAGGGUGAGGGAGAUUCAAUUUAUCUUAUGAACAUAAAACUAUAUCUGACUUUGGCAUCAGAGCGCCUUGCAGGUCCACACACCCACCUGUGAGGAGAAGAAGCCGAGAGCACAACUCGAGUAGAAGCCGUGAGAGCCCAACCCGAGAAGAAGCCGAGAGCACCUAGCUGAAGGAGAAGCCGAGAGCACUUAGCCGAAGGAGAAGCCAAGAGCACUUAGCCGAAAGAGAAGCCGAGAGAAUCUACCUUGAGGAGAAGCCUAGAGCACCCAAUGCGAGAAGAGACCGAGAGAGUCCAGCCCAAAGUUCGGAAGAUUUGUAUAAGAGUUAAUCUUGUCAACCUGAUUCUAGUGUUCUUGGUCCUUGUUGUAAGAACAAGUAGUAACCUCAACUGCAUAAAAUAGUAUGCAAACAUAUACUCAAACUGUAAUUUGUGAUUACAUUUCCAAUUUGGUUGAGUGUUGGUGUUUAAUGCUUUUUAUUUCAUUGUUACAAAAUAUUUUGAGGGUUUGGAAAUUUAUCAGAAUUCGAAAUGUUUUAAGGUUUAAAUAGUGUUUAAUUGGUACAUAUCCACUUUAUUUCCUUUAGAUUUGCAAUUCAAGUAAUAAUUUUCAUGAUAAUUUUUUUUAAAAAUAUGUAUAACAAAUCAUUUUAAAAGUAUAUAUCAAAAUAUUCAUUGUUGGAUGCAGAGGGUUGAGGUUGAAGUGUAUUUACUUGGCGAGGAAAAGAAGAACAAAGCAAGAGAUGUGGUUUGACUUAAGAAGAGAGUGUGGGUUUUGGAGUGAUGAAAGUGACUUUGCAACCAUAAUGAAGAAACAAUGCUGCUAUUCUGAGAAAUGGGUUGAGGUGAACCAUACCAGCUCUUGGAGGGAAAGCCACCUGAACAACAGGUCCAGAAGUAGGCAUUUUUUUGUGUGUAUGUAACUCAUUUAGGAUUGAACCCUCUGGAACUGCACUUUGUAUGGCUCAGAAGUUAGAGCUAAAGGAUUGCCAUAUUGAUCCUGAUAUAUUCCAAUAUCACUGCAUGGAUAGUUGCAAUAAUUGCACACACUUGGACAAUAAACCAUCUUGUAAGCAUCCUCGUACUUCUCAAUCUUAAACCAGUUGCUGAUGGUUUGAGAGCCAGGGUUAUUACGAAGUGGACUUUAAGCCUAACUCAACCCCAUAAAACCGGCUCAAUGGGGUGAGGUUUGCACCCACUUAUAUACUAUGAAAGGCUCUAAUCUCUAGUCGAUGUGGGAUCUCCAACACACCCCCUCAUGCCGAGACUACCAACUCGUGCGUGGGACUAUAUAUUAUGGGUGGUCCGAUAGCGGCCUGAUAGCGGGUGGCACGAUAGGCCCAACACAAACACUUGCUAGGAUAGGCUCAAAAAUGGCUCUGAUACCAUAAUGUGAUUAACCGCCAUGGCAAAGAGAUAGCAAUCACCCAAGGCACCAACCAACAGAGGAUGAAAAACCCUAAACAGAGAGGGAGAGAGAACAGAGAACAUAGAGAGGGAAAAAAGUCUAAAUUGUGAAACUUAAUGGCACAGAAAAACUAAUUAUUAUUGGAUCCAUAAGAGUAUAUAUAUGUACAUGUCAAACAGCAAAACACAGAUUACAAAGAGAAAAACAAAAGCCCAAAAAAUGGAAGGCCCAAAACAAAAGUGUGUAAAGGUGUGCAGUUAUUAAUAAAGGGUACAGAUAUUUUAUCAGCCCCCCUCAAGCUGGGAAUAUAUGUUUCUCAUUCCCAGCUUGGACUGGAUCUCUUUGUAUAUUGUUGGAGCAAGGGGUUUUGUAAGGAUAUCCACAAUCUGCAUAGAGGAAGAGAUUGGAAGCAACUUGAGAAGCCCAGCGGUGAUCUUGUCUCGGACGAUGUGACCGUCAAUGUCGAUGUGCUUGAUACGCUCAUGAAACACUUGAUUUGAGGCAAUGUGUAUUGCAGAUUGGUUGUCAUAGUAGAUGGUUGCUGGUUGGAUAUAGGAAAUACCAAGGUCUUGCAGGAUAUAGGUUAGCCAUUGAAUCUCGCAGGUGGUUGUGGCUAAGGCUCUAUAUUCGGCUUCAGAAGAACUUUUGGAAAUGGUUUGUUGUUUCUUGGAUUUCCAUGAGACGAGAGAGUCACCCAAAAAGAUGGAGUAACCGGUUACUGAUUUUCGAGUUUCAGGACAGGUAGCCCAAUCCGAGUCACUGAAACCGCGAAGUUGGAGAGUGUUGUUGCUGUGAAAGAAGAUACCGUUUCCAGGGUUGCCUUUCAAGUACCGAAUAAGACGAAAAGUAGCUUGUUGAUGGAGAUUGGUAGGAGAGGAAAUAAAUUGGCUGAGGUUGUGGACAAUAAAGGCAAUGCCAGGCUGUGUGUUGGUUAGGUAUAUGAGCUUGCCAAUGAGUCUUCUAUAUUCAGAGGUUUCAAUGUCAUUGAGUCGUGUGCCAACAGAGGAGGAAAGUCGAGAUGAGUGAACCAUGGGUGUAAGCAUAGGAGCAGAAUUGAUCAUGCCGGUUUCAUGAAGAAGGUCCAGUACGUAUUUUCGUUGACAGAUGUGGAGCCCUUGGCUGUUUCUGGCCACCUCUAGGCCCAAAAAAUAGGUGAGGUCUCCUAGGUUUUUGAUCUUAAAUUGAGUGUCCAGCAGAGAGGUGAUAUGAGCAAUUUCCUCAUGAUCGUUUCCAGUAAGCACCAGAUCAUCAACAUACACAAGAAUAAUGGUGAUGUUAGGUCCGUUAUGAUGUAAAAAUUGAGAGUGAUCAGCAGAGGAUAAAGUGUAUUUAUGUGAAAGUAAAAAUUGAGACAGUUUUGCAUACCAUUGGCGGCUAGCCUGGCGAAGGCCAUAGAGUGAUCUUUGUAAUUUGCAAACAUGUUGAGGAGAUGGGAGUUUGAGGCCUGGCGCUGGUUGCAUGUAGACUUCCUCAAGGAGGUCCCCAUGGAGAAAAGCGUUAUUCACAUCAAGUUGUUUAAGAAUCCAGUUUUGAGAAGUGGCAACAGCAAGUAAAAGUCUUAAAGUGGUUAGUUUUGCUACAGGAGCAAAAGUAUCUAAAAAAUCAAGACCUUCUAAUUUUGUGUAGCCUUUUGCUACCAACCGUGCUUUGUGGCGAUCAAUGGUUCCAUCAGCUUUGUGUUUUACCUUAAAAACCCAUUUGCAGCCAAUGGUUUUCUUACCUGGAGGAAGAAUAGUGAUCUGCCAUGUGUUGUUAGCAUUAAGCUCUUCUAGCAUUUCUUGUUUCCAACAAUGAUACUUAGAAGCCUCAGUGUAAGUGUUGGGUUCAGUGUUAAAAGAUAUAGAUAAAAUAGUCUUUUUGAAAGAAGGUGAGAGAGCAGUGUAGGAAAGAAAUUUAUGAAUGGGAUACCGAUUACUUACAGUGUUUGCAGCAGGUAAGCAAGUAUGGAAGUCCUCUAAGUAGGUAAGGGGUCGUUUUUGUCUGCUAGAGCGUCUAGUUGGAAUAAUGUUGUCUUCAUUGUGAGUGAUUGGAGGCUCGUGCUCAUGAUUGUGACAGUUAUAAUCAAACAAAAUAUCAUCACAGAAUGUAUUAUAGUUAGCAGAAAUGGGUAAAGAUAAAGUGUUGGGGCUCCGUUUGUCAUCAUGAUUCAAUAUGUAUGGAAAAUGAUGUUCAUGAAAGAUCACAUGUCUUGAAACUUCAAUGCGAUGAUACUUUAAAUUUAAGAUGAUGUAACCUUUAGUAUUGUGUGGAAAGCCGAGAAAUAUACCAUGAACAGAUCUAGGAUCUAAUUUCUUUCUAUUAGAAUGAAUGGUAGUAGAAUAACAUGAGCAGCCAAAAACCCGUAAGGAAAAGAUAUCACAAGGUUUUCCAAAAAGUUUUUCAUAUNNNNNNNNNNNNNNNNNNNNNNNNNNNNNNNNNNNNNNNNNNNNNNNNNNNNNNNNNNNNNNNNNNNNNNNNNNNNNNNNNNNNNNNNNNNNNNNNNNNNNNNNNNNNNNNNNNNNNNNNNNNNNNNNNNNNNNNNNNNNNNNNNNNNNNNNNNNNNNNNNNNNNNNNNNNNNNNNNNNNNNNNNNNNNNNNNNNNNNNNNNNNNNNNNNNNNNNNNNNNNNNNNNNNNNNNNNNNNNNNNNNNNNNNNNNNNNNNNNNNNNNNNNNNNNNNNNNNNNNNNNNNNNNNNNNNNNNNNNNNNNNNNNNNNNNNNNNNNNNNNNNNNNNNNNNNNNNNNNNNNNNNNNNNNNNNNNNNNNNNNNNNNNNNNNNNNNNNNNNNNNNNNNNNNNNNNNNNNNNNNNNNNNNNNNNNNNNNNNNNNNNNNNNNNNNNNNNNNNNNNNNNNNNNNNNNNNNNNNNNNNNNNNNNNNNNNNNNNNNNNNNNNNNNNNNNNNNNNNNNNNNNNNNNNNNNNNNNNNNNNNNNNNNNNNNNNNNNNNNNNNNNNNNNNNNNNNNNNNNNNNNNNNNNNNNNNNNNNNNNNNNNNNNNNNNNNNNNNNNNNNNNNNNNNNNNCAUAGAUUAUUUUCCUUACCAGUGCAGGAGACAGAGGGAUUAAAGUGUGGUGUGGCAGUGUGAAAAAUAGAAGAGUUAAAGAUGUACAAGCCAGCUUUGGCAUUAGAUAAACCAAUCUGCUCUUUGGAGAGGUUGUCCAGUAUAAGACAGUGUGUGGGGGAAAAGAUCAAGUUACAUUUUAAGUGUAGAGACAUUUUAGAAGCAGAUAUAAGGUUGCAUGCAAAUUGAGGGAUAUACAACACAUCAAGAAGAUAAAAUAUAUUUGUAAAAACGACUGUUCCUGAAUAGUUUGCAAAAACAUGUUGGCCAUUUGGUAAGUUGAUCAAAACAGGUUUGAUAGUUUUAUAAGAGGUGAAAGCAGACAAGACAGUACAAACGUGAUCAGUGGCGCCAGAGUCAACGAUCCAGGAAUUAUGACUAUGAUUUAAAGAGGAGAAGAAGUUCUUACCUGUUGAAGACUCAUGUGUAUUGGAGUCUGCAGAGAAGGAGCCCACUUGAUUCACUUGAAUAGGAUUAGGCGGAGUGUCAUUGCUGUUUUGCCUCAAAACAUCAUUGAUAAUUUGAAUUUGAUGUGCAGUGAGAUGGUAAUCACGUUUUUCCUGUUCUUUAGGACAAGGCUCAGAGAAAACACCAUCAGUAGUAAUAAGACUGUUAAUCUGACUAGUCCUAUUGCAGUUAUAGUAUUUGUACCCAAGAGGGUAGCCAUGUUUCUUGUAACAGGUAUCCACAAUGUGACCAUUUCUGUUACAGUGCGUGCAUACCUUUCUAGUGUUAGGUUUGGAGUUCCUAUUGUCUUGAUGAGGGAACCCAACUCUUUUAAAACAAACAUUUUCAGUGUGCCCAUGCUUACCACAAAAAGUGCACAGAGUAGAUGAGGAUGUCCUAGUGGAAUCAACACUGUUAAUACUAGAUAUGCUAACAGAAAUGUGGUCUGCUAAUUGUCUUUCUUGCUGGGCAACGAGAGAAAAGAUCUUUGAUAUAGGUGGGAUGGGUUCCAUGAGAAGAACGUGUGAUCUAACAUUACUGUAUUGGUCAUUUAACCCUCUCAAAAAUUGCAUGGCAUAAUCUUCGCACUUUCUUUGACUUAUGAUAGAAUUAACUAAACAGGAACAUUUUACAGAACAUGUGCACAUGGGGAUAGGCCUAAAGUUGUCAAACUCGUCCCAAAUUAUCCUUAAUUUUGUAAAAUACUCAGUCACAGAUAAAUCCCCCUGAUUUAAAGAAGCUACUUCUACUUGAAGAUCGGAAAUUCUAGAUAGGUCACCCUGAGAGUAUCUAGUUUUCAAGUCAUUCCAGAUGUCUAGGGCACUAUCCAUCCAAAUAAUGUGUGGAUUUAUGACUCACAUUUUCCGUUUUCUUGUCAUAAUUGGGAGGUUAAUUGUCACAAUCAAUUGCAAUCAAUGGGAGAUUAAUUGCCACAAUCAAUUGCAAUCAAUGGGAGAUUAAUUGUCGCAAUCAAUUGCAAUCAAUGGGAGGUUAAUUACCAUUAAUUGUAUUUAUUAUUGUUGUCUCCUAUAACCACUAUAUAUAGUGACUUCCUUCAAGCAAUGUAACACACUACAAACAAGCAACACACACUUGCUUCCUCUCUCUUUUCAUAUACUCUCUAUUUUUGUUCUUGGGUGUAAGUGUUUAACCCAUAUAGAGAGGAUUUGUUUUAGGGCUAUUUAUCUAUUAGUUUGAGAGGAAUUCAUUGUACUCCCAGUAUCAUUAUUGUGAAAGUUUUGUCUCUCUCGCCGGUGGUUUUUUACCUCUAUUUAAAGGGGUUUUCCACCUAAAAAUUCUGGUAUCAUUCUCACUUUACUUGUUACUUUAAUUUCUCAUAAUUUUUGGUUGAAAUUAUCACGCUUCCGCACACGAUAUCCCUACAUAAUGCUUUGCCGAAUAGGUAAAGAGACGGAGUGUACUAACCAUGAGACUACCGUAUCAUUGCAUCUAUUCCAAACUGAGAAAUUUCGAUGGUCUUUUUCUGGGCAAGGAUGUGUUCCAAGAACGAACUCCACUUUGUUUUUAACGUUCAGUGCCGUCAAGAUUGAGCGGCUCCAGGAGUGGUAAUUUGAAGCAUCCAGCACUGGUGAGACGAGCGGAGCAGCGGGGUUCUCGCUAGGAUGAAGGUAGAGGUAGCUGUUCGCCGGAUCGGGUUGAGAUGAAGAAGUGACGCGUUCUUCUGCCAUUGCUGCAAACAGAGAAACAAGGAAAAUAAAUCCAAGAAGAAUAAAAAGAAAAGAAAGUUUUCAGAGUGCACAACAGAGCUUUAUAAUACGAAGUGGACUUUAAGCCUAACUCAACCCCAUAAAACCGGCUCAAUGGGGUGAGGUUUGCACCCACUUAUAUACUAUGAAAGGCUCUAAUCUCUAGUCGAUGUGGGAUCUCCAACAAGGGUUGCCCAAAACACCACCAGUUGUGACAAACCACUUUUAUGUUGAAUAAUCAUAGUCCUUAAGCUUCCACAAUGUGGAUUGUGGACAACUUAUACAGGUGGAGAAAUAGAUGUUGAAAUCAGUGGAAACGCGAAUCACACCUUUCUUAUCAUUAACAGGUACAAAGAUCAAUUGCUGGCCUUGAUAACCAUCAACAACUACAACAUCAAGAGGGCAAUCUUCACCUGUGAUUGAGAGAGAAAGGCCACCUACAUCAGAGGAUGCUGGAACAAUGUAGUAAUUGUCACCAGCUCACCUUCUUCCCUGAUGAAUCCACAAUUUGCUCUGGUGCAGGACCUACUUCUUCAAUUUUCUGUGUUUACUUUUUUUCUUCUUGUAACUCUUGUGAGAUGGAUAUGGAAGAAGAGGGAGAUUUACAUUUAUAUUAGCCGGGGAUGGAUCUAAAUCUAUGUACCCAUGUGCACCAAAGUCAUGGAUUUCUUCUCUUACAAUUGGCCUGUAUAUAAAGAUUCAAUUUUGUCAAAAAACUUGUGUAGUUCACAAUCUGUGAUUGACUAGAUUUAUAAGUUUUCUGAUGAAGUUGUAGUUUGGUUUAUACUCAAUCAUUCAGAGUAAAUAGCCCUUGCCAAUUGCUGAAUUUGCUCGGCACUGAAGCGUUGUACGAGGUUUCUAUCGGACUCGAAGCACAUAGAUUAGUGCAUUUCCAUUUUUUAAGCUCUAUAUUGUGAGAUUAAUGAAUAUCUUGCUUUACUCUUUUCUUUUCUUUAGCUUUAUAAGAAAAUGAUAAAAAAUGGUAAGAAGAAGAAAUGUUUCUUAUUCUCUUAUGUGUAUUUUACAUCACUUCAUGUAUAGGAAAUAUAUAGGGAGUUUCUCUUCCCAAAUUACAAUCUAAUUAUGUAGAUACUAACCAUGAGAUUAUAUAAUUAUUAAAUUAAUUGCAUAUAAUUGGUACAAUAUCUUCAAAUAUUGCAUACAAUAAUUACAUAUAAUUUGAUAAUUAUUAUUUUCUUAAUAAGCUUCAUUGUUAUUUUCUUCAAAUUUAUGCAGAUGGAACAGAAAAGGAUGUUCCAGAAUCAAUAAUCAAAUAUUUUGUCUCCCUAAUCCAGAACUCCAACUUUUUUCAGAAAACCCAUAAUUCAGCAAAUUGUACAUGCAGUAUUUUUUAUGAGUAAAAAUCACUAAGCCUGCAGUUUUUUACAUUCCUUUAUCAUAGUCUUGUUUUAGCUUUUACAAUAACUAGUUAUAAACAGUAUAUAAUGAUAAUAUUUUAUUGACUGAUAAAAUAAUUUCCUAGAAAACCAGAAGAUCAUGUGGGGUAGGUGAUUUCUAGAAAAUGUUCCAUAUUUAGGUCAAAUUCUAGGUCUCCAUUGUUGGUAUUAUAUGUUAAGUUUACAAAUAUUGAUAUUUAAAACUUACAAAAAUAUCACUCAUUUUCAUGUUUUUCUUUCAUUGUCAUUUGUAUUUAAAAAAAAUUCAGAAAAUCUUUUGUAAGACAUUGACUCGCGGAUCACUUGAUUUUAAUAUUCUUAGAAAAUAUUAAAUAUAAAAAAUAUCAUCUAUUAUAAUGUAGAACUUUUAUUACUGUAGAAAUGAAAUAUUGUUUUUCACAGUUUUUCACUGAGAGAUCUAUGUAAUGUAAUUUUGGUGAUCGACUACAACUACCAGAGUAAUGAAGAAAAAGAGAAUUGGUUGGAUCCAAGUUAGAUUCUAUCGAAAUUUCUCUCAUAAAAGAAAGAGAACAAAUUCAAAAAGAUAAAAGAAAAAUAAAAGGAAUAAAAAAAUAAAGUUUAUCAAACUAAUGAUAAAGUUUAGUAUCAUAUUAAUGCUAACAAACUAAUGAUAGAAGAAGAAAAAUUAAAAAAAAUAAAUAUAUAUAUAUAUAUAUAUCAAACUUUAUUUUUGAAUUAAAGUUUUUUAAUGAAUAAGAGAUACCAAAGUUAUGUCUUAAAUACACAAGAUAAGUAGAAAGAAAAAAGUUUGCAAAAUGAUAAACUAGUUAAUAACAUAGUUAUUAUAAACAUAACACACACAAAAAUAAUUAAAUAAAAAUGAAUUUUAGGGAUAAAAAAUGAUUAAUCAAUAUAUUAAUUAAAUUAUACACUAAUUUAAAAACUAAAAAAAUAUUAUUAUUUAAUAUAAUUUCUAAAUUUAUAAAUUAAUUUUAAUUUUAUAUUUAAUUAAAUAUUAACUAAUUUAUAUUCUAAAAUUAAUAGCUAAAACUUUGAUAACUAAUUAAAUAUCAAUUAAUUAAUUAAAUAAUAAUUUUAAUCUCUAAAAUAAUUUAUAUUUUUAUUAAUAUAAUGAUUAAUUAUUAUUUUUUAUUUAAAAAUAAAUUUUAUUUAAUAAUAUUUUAGUAGGUAAAUACAACUAUAAAAAAUCCAAUGAAAAAACUUAAAAUUUAGUUAAGUUUAAUCAUUAUUAUUUUAUAUUUUAAUUAAUCAAUUAAAACUUUUUUCAACACUACUCAUAAAUACUUGAGACUUUUUUCAACACUACUCAUAAAUACUUGAGACUUUUUUUAACACUAAUCAUAAAUACUUGAGACUAUUUUCAACACUACUCAAAAGAAAAUGAUUAUUUCACAACUGCUUUUUUUUGGGCCAUAUUAUAAUGUAUUCAAAGUUUUUUUAUCCUUCAAUAAAUCUAUACAUUUUAUAAGUGACUUUUAUUCUUGUAAUAAAUAUACCUAAUUUUUAUAUGGUGUAAAAUUAUCAAAUGAUGAUUUGAAUCAAAGUUUUCAAAUAAAUUUAUUUUUUAAAUUAUAAUUUAUUAUUUUAUUUUAACAAAAAUAUUUGUUUGACAACUAGCUUAAAUUACAGAAUUAGAAAAUUCUUUUUGUGAUGUUUUAAACAAAAAAUUGAUAAAUUUUUUUUCUGAUUUUACAUAUUCAUUAUUUUCAACUAAUAGAAAACUUUUUUGGAGUAAUCACAUUAUGUAUAAUAUUAUCAUUUUCAAUACUAACAUACAAAUAUAUACAAUAAAAUAUGUUAUACUUAAAUUAAAAAAGCUAAAAUAUUGUUAAAUAAUUGAUUUUUUUUUAGUUAUUAAAGUCUUUUUAUUCAAUUUAAACGAGAGUUUGAUAAAAAAGAAAAUUUUAAUUUUUCAAAAAAUUAAAACUAAAAAAAAUCUAAUAAUUGCUAUAUUUAAGAAAGUAACAUUUUUAACAACUAAUAUUUUCAAAAAAAUUAUGUUAUGAUUCUAAUAAUAUUAUUUAUGUAGAGUACAUGAAAAUCUAUUUUUUCUCAAAAUAAAAUGAAAAUUUAAAUAAUAAAAGUUUAUAUGUUAUAUUAAUAAUAUAUUUUAUUAAUUCAAUUAUUUAUUUAUAAAAUUUAUAAUUUAUGAGAUUCAUAAUUUUUAAGCAUAAAAAAAUUCACAUACCUAAUGUCUCUUUAAAAUAAUUCGAAAAAUUAAAACAUUAAACAUGAAAAUUAUAAACUCACAAAAUAGUUAUAUUAUUCAUAUAGUAAAACUUAAUAGUAUUUUUUAUUGAUCAUUUACAUCUCUAUUUCUUUCUUUAUUUAUUUCUUGUUAGAAUGUUAAUAGAUAUUCUUUAGAAGCUUUUCCUAAAUUAUUGUGAGAAGUCCAUAAAAUUUGAUGUCGUAACCUGAUUAAUAGAGUACAUAAACAUAAUAAUAUACAAUGAUUAUAUACAAUAUAACAAAAUACUAUCAUCAAAAGAAUCAUAGAAUUUGCAAAAAUAAAAGAAGUAUUAAAAAAGAACAAAAUGAUGAUAUGGAUUACGAAUUUCACAAUCAUUUAUUUAAGAGGUUUUGUGUGCAUUCAUUUGUAUUUGACAAUCCUUUUGCACGAUUUACAUUCUCUGUCAGCAUCACCACAAACCCCUCUUGGCUAAAUUUAAGUUAUAUAUAGUCAAUUCUAUCCAAGAAAAUUUAACCAACUAUAUUUUAGGGUGUUCCUUGUUCCAACGAUCUCACUAGGAAGGUAAAACCAUAUAGAAGGGCUACCACUUAUGUAAACAUAUAUGUUUUGUGUUGUUCUAUUGCGGGGUGGUGCAUGAGUGAUGACUUUUUUACGGCAAGUGCAUUGUGUUGUCAAAAGUAAUAAUUUGUCUAUAGGGACGAAUAUCGAACCCACAAGGAACAGUUGAAUAAUCAAGUAAAAUAUUCACUAAAUAGAAAACAAAAUAAUAAAGUUUUUUGGGAUUUGUUAUGAUGACAAUGAUUAAUAAGAAAAUAAGUCAAAGAGUUUGUUGCUUCAAUUGAAAAAAUAAGGAUUGCGGUUCAUCUUUCUCACUCUUUUGUAUUUUGAUUAGCAUGAAAAUAUUGUGUCCUUUGAUUGAUAUUAAUGCCCGUAUAAAAAUCAUUUAUAUCGAUUCCUCGCAUAUAAAAUUAUUAAUAUGCUUCCUAAAUAUCGAUUUUUCGCAUAUUUAUAAAAAAAAAACUUAUUAUUAAUAUUAGAUGUUGAUAGAAAUUAACAUUUCAAAUCUAUUCCUAGCAUUCAAAUAUGUUAAACAUUAUCAUUUGGGUCAAAACCUUAGAAGUACUUUUUAGCCAAAUCUAAGUUUCGAAAUCAUGGAAAACCAAACAUUACAAACAAAAAAAUAAUACCAAUCAUUAAUCAAGAACAAAAUAUUAUAUUUAGAUAUCACAUCAAUGCAUAAAAGUUAAAACAGAUUACUCCUAAUCCAAAUGGUAGACUUAGCCACACAUGAUGGUUGUUACAAGUAGGGAGAGCAAGAAAAAAAGAUUCUGGAUUUUCUCCUUGACGGUUGCCUCCUCUAGGGUUUCUAACACCUCAUAUUCUCCCAAUUGGAUUACAAUUCACUCAAAGGUGUUUUCCUCUCAAUCACUGAUAUUUAGGGUUGUGCCUCAAGCCCCCUAUUUAACCUAAUUUUUGUGGGCUAAGUGUCUUCUCACUUGGCCUUUAUUGCUGAAAUUUGACACUUAUCAAUGAGGAGUGUGAAAAGUAACCUUAAUGGAGGAGACCAAGGUACAAUUAUCUAAUCUCAAUCUUAAUGUAGUUGGUCAAGUUAAGUGGUGACAUGUGUAGGAAUAAGCGGUGACCCUUGCUACCAACUUUCUACACAGUUAAUUAAUUUUAGAAAUAUUUAGGUUUGUGUUGUUCUUAUGUAGAGUGGUGCAAUGCAUGAGGUAUGUGUAAAGUAACCCUAGUGGAUGACACGAAGAUCAAGGUCUCCAACCUUACUAUUAUUGUAGUUAGAGAUAGUUAUAUUAAGUGGUGACUUGUGUAGGAAUAAGUGGUGACCUACUACCAAGUUUCUGCACAGUUAAGUAACUUUAUAAAUUUUAAGUUUUGUUCUUGUGUGAGGUGGUGCAUGAGGUGUGUGUAAAGUGACCUCAAUGCAAGACACCAAGGUACAAUUAUCAAAUCUCAUUGUUAAUUAAUCAGAAUAAGUGGUGACCUAUGUACGAAUAAGUGGUGAUCGACUACCAACUUUUUGCACCACAAAGUAAUUUUUGAAAUUUUAAGCUUUGUAUUAUUCUUGGGUGAGGUGGUACACUGCAUGAGAUGUGUGUAAAGUCACCCUAGUGGAGAACACGAUGGUUAAGUUCUCUAAUGUCAUUGUUAAUGUAGUUAGCCACAAUCACAUUAAAUGGUGACAUGUGUAGGAAUAAGAGGUGACUUAUAACCAAGUUUUUGUACAGUAAAAUAUUUUUAGAAAUUUUAAACUUUGUUUUGUUCUUAGUAAGUGCAUGAUGUGUGUGUAAAGUGGCCUUAGUGGAGGACUCUAAGGUCAAGUUCAUUAAUCUCAAUUUCAAUAUAGUUAGUCACAAUAAGUGGUGACAUGUGUAGGAAUAAAGGGUGAUAUGCUACCAUUUUUUGUGCAUAGUGAUGUAAUUUUGAGUUUUGUUUUGUUCUUAGGUGGGCUGAUACAUGGGAUGUGUGUAAAAAGUGACCUCAGUGGAGGACACCAAGGUCAAGUUCUCUAAUCUUGAUGUGAAUGUAGUUAGUCAUAGUAAGUCGUGACCUGCUACCAAGUUUCUGCACACUAAUCAAAAUUUUGAAAAUCUAAGCUUAUUGUUGUUCUUGUUAGAAAAGAUGGCUUUAAACUAGAGGGGGUGAAUUGUUUAAAGGGGUUUUCGCAAACUUUCCAAAGCUAGAAUGAAUUUAUUUCAGAAACCAAUUGAUUCAGCAAUUCAGUUAGCCAAAACAACAAGCAAAACUGUAAUACUAGAAAAAAACAAUCGGUUGUUUCUUCGAAACAAUCGGUUGUUUAUACCAGCAAACAACAAACAAGCUGAAAUUAAAGAGUUAGGGAUAGAGAGAUUGUACACAUUUGUUUAUACUGGUUCACUCCAAACUAGAGCUACAUCUAGUCUUCUCAGAAACCCUAAGGAUAUCCACUAAGUAAUCACCACUUGAUCACUUACACCACAACCAAGAGAAUGACCUUGAACACCUCAAGAAACACACUCUCCUUGGCCAACACUAAGAUUGCUGAUCUUGAACACCUCAAGAACACACAGCCAAUCUCAGCAAAACAUGCACACGAAUUGUUCAGCAGUUUACACAGAUUACACUUGUUACAGAUGAAUAUCUGAAAUCAAUACAAGUAGAAUCUNNNNNNNNNNNNNNNNNNNNNNNNNNNNNNNNNNNNNNNNNNNNNNNNNNNNNNNNNNNNNNNNNNNNNNNNNNNNNNNNNNNNNNNNNNNNNNNNNNNNAUUCCAGCACCUUGAUCAAUCUCUCAACUCUUAAGCAAUCUCAGAACUUCUUGAAAAACUCUUAGUUGUUGUUAUUGUUAAACUUUGUCUCAAGAUUCUUAAUCCUUAAAAACAGUUUUUCAGAAUAUAUUCAAGAAUAUAGUUUGUUAUCAAAUCUUAACAAACUCUUAAUUGCAUUUAAAAUAGAUUGGUCAAAGCAUUUAAUGACUGGAGCGUACUCAGUUAAAGCAUUUAAAGCUCAGUCAAAGAAAACAGUUUUUCUGUUAUGGUUUCAAAACAAACAAUCGAUUGUUUCCUCAAAUCAAUCGGUUGUUUUGUUACUUAACAAAUUUCACCAUUCAAAAACGGUUUUCAAACUUUCUCAAAACACCUAAGUGUAAACAAUCGGUUGUUUCGACAAAACAAUCGGUUGUUUCGACAAAACAAUCGGUUGUUUCGACAAAACAAUCGGUUGUUUCGACAAAACAAUCGGUUGUUUCAACUUAGUUUGAAAAACAUUUUUCUUUGAUAAAAGUUGAGAUGUUAAUGCUUGAGAUUUAAUCUAAGGGUGGAUUACAACAUUACACUACCCCAGAACAAAGCUUAAAUCAGCACAGCAACACAAAGCAAAGCAGAGGCUUCAUCAUCCUUCAAAGGAUUUGGAUUCUUCAAAACAUUGAACACCACUUGGUUCAAUAAUCUCCCCCUAUUUGAUGAAGACAAAUCCUUGAUGCUUGUGUUGUACCUGAUUAAAUCUGAAGUAGUUCCUGCAAUAGAACUUUGAGCAAUAUUUUGAACUUCUGAUAUUCUAUUAGCAUACAGAUAAACAUUUAAGGCUUAAAACAGUUAAUAUCAGAAACAAAAUACAUGUUACUUAAACUGUUUUUAAUCAAAAUGAAAAACAGAGAUAUUUAAACAAACUGGAAACACAAACACAGCAUAUAUCUCCCCCUAUUUGUCUUCACAAAUAGAAAAAGAUAAGAGAUAAAAAAAAUUGUUUCCAUUACAUCAGAAUAAACCAUCAACAGCAGAAGGAAAGAAAUUUUAAAACCAGAAAAGAACAACUAAAAAACAAUCGAUUGUUUUGUUGACCAAUCGGUUGUUUUUCCUUCAUUCUUCUUCAUCAGCAAACUGAAGAUCAAAGAUUUGAUUCUGGACAGCUUCAAUCUGUUCGUCCAGAGUCAUAAACCUUGUAUCCAUGUUGUCAAACCUUGUAUCAAUCCUCUGAAAGUUACUAACACACAAAUCAUGAAGGCUUAUUUGAUUUUCAGCAAAGCUAUCUAGCCUAUCCAUCAUUUGUCUUUCAAAAGAUGAUAUGGUUGACAUUCUUUCUCUUUGAUAUCCAUCAGCAGCACUAGGCCCUGCAUCUUGAAAAUCUCCAGCUGGAUCUUCAUGUUGAACAUCCAUAUCAGNNNNNNNNNNNNNNNNNNNNNNNNNNNNNNNNNNNNNNNNNNNNNNNNNNNNNNNNNNNNNNNNNNNNNNNNNNNNNNNNNNNNNNNNNNNNNNNNNNNNNNNNNNNNNNNNNNNNNNNNNNNNNNNNNNNNNNNNNNNNNNNNNNNNNNNNNNNNNNNNNNNNNNNNNNNNNNNNNNNNNNNNNNNNNNNNNNNNNNNNNNNNNNNNNNNNNNNNNNNNNNNNNNNNNNNNNNNNNNNNNNNNNNNNNNNNNNNNNNNNNNNNNNNNNNNNNNNNNNNNNNNNNNNNNNNNNNNNNNNNNNNNNNNNNNNNNNNNNNNNNNNNNNNNNNNNNNNNNNNNNNNNNNNNNNNNNNNNNNNNNNNNNNNNNNNNNNNNNNNNNNNNNNNNNNNNNNNNNNNNNNNNNNNCCAACCGAGCAUGUGCUAACUUGAGAUUGAUUGUUCUUCAAGCAACUUUUGUAGAACUGGAUUUUGUUGAAAUCUUCCACCACACCAAGAUUUCCCUUGUUGAUUCUCAAACCAGAGAACUUAAGCCCAGCAACAGCUGCCCAAACCUCAUGAGUUAUCUCCAUCUCCACACCUUUCACAUGAGAGACUAGGUUGUUUCCCUCAAACUUCAAGUUGGUGUAGAAUACCCUCACCAAAUCUAAAUAUAUGUUCCCUUUUAGCUCCAGAAAUUUUCUGAGUGAUUGGUCCUUGAGAAGCCUCCUCACUUUGUCAAGCUUUUGACUUUUCAGCCAAUCAAAGCACACAACCUUCGGGUUGUUUAUCUUCUUGACACUUGUUUCAUGCCUAUACUUCUCAAUGAGUUUGGUGUCACCAGAAAACCAGCUUUCAAGUCUUCCUCCAGAUCUUACAGCUCUGGUUUUGACUCUUUUAUAGGUGGGAGGGGUUGAUUCCAUGACAGCAGAGACGAAAACUCACUUCACAGAAAAAUUUGCAAGAGAUGGAGCAAGAGAUAUUGCAAGAGAUGUUGCAAUUGAUUGUUCUUGAUGGAAGAAAUCUGCACCUGAUUUUAUAGAAGAAAGAGAAUCAAUUUGAAUUUAAUUUCAACUCAAUGGGUACCUGAUUUUUCAGAGAGAGGACUUGACUCUGUUCUGCACUGAAAAUGUCAGAAAAAGCUGAAAAUCACAUGGUCUUCACAUGUGAUCUUUGACUAGUCAUUAAGGCUCUUGAAUUUCCAAGAUUUUGGAAUUUAUUCCUUUAUGACUGUUGUAACUUCUUUCUGAUCAUGCUCAGCUUUAAACACAGGUCCCUUGACCAAGAUUCUCCCUUUGAAAUUGAUCUGCAAUGGAUAAAAUUUCAAAAAGCAAUUAAAUCAAUUUCUUCACAGUGCUGUCAGACUCAAAACAAUCAGUUGUUUCGAAGAAACAAUCGGUUGUUUUUCUGCAGCAGUUAAAAACUUGAUUUUGAAAUUUUUAACCAUAAACAGAAACAGAUUAAAGCACAUGAUAUUGAUUAAAAUACAAUUAAUCAUAAGAAAGAACUUUGAAGCAAAAAUUGAGAACAAAUAAAGGAAGGUCUUAUCCUUGUGUUGUUUCUUCAAUGAGCCAAUUGCUUGUUGAUCAAGAAAACUUCUUUUCACUGUUUUGAUCUUUUGCAUAGCAUUGAUUCAGCUUCAAUGACUGCCUUUUUCUUCAACAGCUUGAUCAGAUGGCUCAGUUCUUCUUUUUCUCUUCAUUUUUCCUGCAUAAACAAAUUCAAGUUGCAAGAUUUGGUCCCCUUACAAAUUUGGGUCCUUUUGGCUUUUCUUUGUUGUUAGAAACAUCACAUCCCUUAGGAAUCCAUUUCAUAAGGCCUUUAGGAACACAAUAUUUUCUAAUUUUACAGAAUCUAACAGAGUGGCCUUUCUUCAUGCAGUAAAAGCAUGUAACAACCGGUUGUUUCGUCUUAACAAUCGGUUGUUUUUCUGAUUUUCUUAAAAAAAAAAUUGAAAACCUAUCUUGCUUAUUCUGUGGAUUGAAGCCUAAACCAGCCUUUCCAAAAACACAGCUUUGAGAUGCCAAGACAUUCUCAAAGUUUGAUUUCCUUUUUGAAAGCUUGUCCACAGUUUCAACAAGAUAGUGAACCUUUUUCUCAAGAUUUUCACAAUUUGUGCAAAUGAGAGUAUCACACUUGCAAGAUGCAUUUUUGAAAUGAUUUUCCAGUUUUUCAAAAUCAAUUUUUGCUUUUCUUAGAUCCUCUUCAAGUGAUUUAACUUUNNNNNNNNNNNNNNNNNNNNNNNNNNNNNNNNNNNNNNNNNNNNNNNNNNNNNNNNNNNNNNNNNNNNNNNNNNNNNNNNNNNNNNNNNNNNNNNNNNNNNNNNNNNNNNNNNNNNNNNNNNNNNNNNNNNNNNNNNNNNNNNNNNNNNNNNNNNNNNNNNNNNNNNNNNNNNNNNNNNNNNNNNNNNNNNNNNNNNNNNNNNNNNNNNNNNNNNNNNNNNNNNNNNNNNNNNNNNNNNNNNNNNNNNNNNNNNNNNNNNNNNNNNNNNNNNNNNNNNNNNNNNNNNNNNNNNNNNNNNNNNNNNNNNNNNNNNNNNNNNNNNNNNNNNNNNNNNNNNNNNNNNNNNNNNNNNNNNNNNNNNNNNNNNNNNNNNNNNNNNNNNNNNNNNNNNNNNNNNNNNNNNNNNNNNNNNNNNNNNNNNNNNNNNNNNNNNNNNNNNNNNNNNNNNNNNNNNNNNNNNNNNNNNNNNNNNNNNNNNNNNNNNNNNNNNNNNNNNNNNNNNNNNNNNNNNNNNNNNNNNNNNNNNNNNNNNNNNNNGCUAUGCUCCUUGUGUGCUUAUCUUCACUCUCUUGAACAUUGAGUCUAUUCAUCUCUAGCUCAUGUUCCCUAAGCUUUCCAAACAAAGAAGCAACACUUAAUGAAGUUAGAUCUUUGGAUUCGGAAAUAGCAGUUACCUUUGGUUGCCAUGCUUUAUCAAGACAUUUCAAGAUCUUGAUGUUCAGCUCUUCUUUAUCAAGCGUCUUGUCUAGGCUCAUAAGGUGGUUGAUGAUGUGUGUAAACAUUUUCUGCACUUCAGCUAUGGUUUCACCUUUAAGCAUUCUAAACAUCUCAUACUCUUGGAUGAGAGCAUGCUUUCUAGCUCUUUUCACCUCAUUUGUUCCUUCACGAGUGACUUCCAAAGUAUCCCACAUUUCUUUUGAUGAUUUGCAUUGUGAGACCCUGAAAACUCAUCAGAAUUUAAAGCAGAGGUUAUAAUAUUUUUGGCAAUGCAAUCGAAUUUGGCCUUUUUACUUUCUGCAUCAGUCCAUUGAGACCAUGACUUUUCAAUGACAGCACCAUCUUUUUCAAACUUUGGGAUAAAAGGGCCAUUUUCAAUUGCAUCCCAAAUUCCUUUGACAAGAGAUUCCAUAAAUAUUUUCAUUCUAACUUUCCAAAACUGGUAAUUCAAACCACAAAACAAGGGUGGUCUGUUUAUUGAGGCACCUUCCCCAAACGGUAGUCUAUCAGCCAUUUUAAAAGAUUUUUAGGAUCAACUUGAAUGACUUACAAGAACCAAGCUCUUGAUGCCAAUUGUUAGAAAAGAUGGCUUUAAACUAGAGGGGGGUGAAUUGUUUAAAGGGGUUUUCGCAAACUUUCCAAAGCUAGAAUGAAUUUAUUUCAGAAACCAAUUGAUUCAGCAAUUCAGUUAGCCAAAACAACAAGCAAAACUGUAAUACUAGAAAAAAACAAUCGGUUGUUUCAUCGAAACAAUCGGUUGUUUAUACCAGCAAACAACAAACAAACUGAAAUUAAAGAGUUAGGGAUAGAGAGAUUGUACACAGUUGUUUAUACUGGUUCACUCCAAACUAGAGCUACAUCUAGUCUUCUCAGAAACCCUAAGGAUAUCCACUAAGUAAUCACCACUUGAUCACUUACACCACAACCAAGAGAAUGACCUUGAACACCUCAAGAAACACACUCUCCUUGGCCAACACUAAGAUUGCUGAUCUUAAACACCUCAAGAACACACAGCCAAUCUCAGCAAAACAUGCACACGAAUUGUUCAGCAGUUUACACAGAUUACACUUGUUACAGAUGAAUAUGUGUUUACACGAUCCAGCGCUCCUAUNNNNNNNNNNNNNNNNNNNNNNNNNNNNNNNNNNNNNNNNNNNNNNNNNNNNNNNNNNNNNNNNNNNNNNNNNNNNNNNNNNNNNNNNNNNNNNNNNNNNGAUCAAUCUCUCAACUCUUAAGCAAUCUCAGAACUCUUAGAAAAACUCUUAGUUGUUGUUAUUGUUAAACUUUGUCUCAAGAUUUCUUAAUACCUUAAAAACAGUUUUUCAGAAUAUAUUCAAGAAUAUAGUUUGUUAUCAAAUCUUAACAAACUCUUAAUUGCAUUUAAAAUAGAUUGGUCAAAGCAUUUAAUGACUGGAGCGUAUUCAGUUAAAGCAUUUAAAGCUCAGUCAAAGAAAACAGUUUUUCUGUUAUGGUUUCAAAACAAACAAUCGAUUGUUUCCUCGAAUCAAUCGGUUGUUUUGUUACUUAACAAAUUUCACCAUUCAAAAACAGUUUUCAAACUUUCUCAAAACCCCUAAGUGUAAACAAUCGGUUGUUUCGACAAAACAAUCGGUUGUUUCAACUUAUUUUGAAAAACAUUUUGCUUUGAUAAAAAUUGAGAUGCUAAUUGCUUGAGAUUUAAUAUAAGGGUGGAUUACAACAUUAAACUACCCCAGAACAAAGCUUAAACCAGCACAGCAACACACAGCAAAGCAGAGGCUUCAUCAUCCUUCAAAGGAUUUGGAUUCUUCAAAACAUUGAACACCACUUGGUUCAACAGUUCUUAGGUGGGGUGGUGCAUGAAGUGUGUGUAAAGUGACCUCAGUGGAGUAUACCAAGGCCAUGUUCUGUAAUCUCAGUGUCAAUGUAUGUUGUCACAGACACACUAAGUGGUGAACUAGGUAGGAAUAAAUGGUGACCUACUACCGAGUUUAUGCAUAAUGAAGCAAUUUUAAAAAAAUUGAUCUUUGUGAUGUUCUUGGGUGGGGUGGUGCAUAAGGUGUUUGUAAAGUGACCUCGGUGGAGGACACAUAGGAAAAGUUCUCUAAUCUGAGUAUCAAUGUACUUAGUCACAGUAAAUGGUGAUUUGUGUAGGAAUAAGUGGUGACUUGCUAUCAACUUUUUGCACAUUGAACAAAUUUAUGAUAUUUUGAGCUUAUUGUUGUUGCUCGGUGGGGUGGUGCAUGAGGUAUGUGUGAAGUGACCCUAAUGGAGGAUGCCAAGGUGAAUUUCUCCAAUGUCACUGUUAUACAAUUAUAGUAGUGGACCAGUCAAAUUUAUGGUUGUGUACAAUAUUUAUAAUUUAUGAUUUAGGUUGGGAAAUUUUAUUAGUUACUGAGUUUGUAUUACCAAUGUUACAUUGUUCAAAAUGUUUAAAGUAAUCGAUUUUAUUUUUCAUUUGAUAAAUAAAUCUUUUGUCUGAUAAACAAAUUCAGUUCACCUUAUUCAUCAUUCUCCCUUACCACUGUGCAAAAAUUUAGACCAGGUCACCACUUUCUAAACCAUUUUUUUAAAUGACCAACGCAUUAACCUCUACCAUACUCGAGUCCAAUUGUGCAGUACUUCAAUGAAUAAAAUCUUUCAUACUAAGUUUAAUCACAAUAUGCAUUUAAGCAUACAAAAAUCAUUUUAAAUAAAAUUAUAUCAAUUAUGUCAAGAAAGUCCAAUUCAAAAGUAUACUUAUAAUAAAUAUUUAUUUUACUAGACUAAAUUAGAAUUAUAAAAAUAUGAAAAAAUAGCUAACACUAAGUUGAAAAAAUAUUAUUAUUAAUAUUAACAUUAUUAUUAUCAUAAUUACUACUAAUAUUAAUAUUAUUAUUAAUAUUAAAAUUAUUAUUAUUAUUUAAAUUAUUAUUAAUAUUUAUUGCUAUUAUUAUUAUUAUUAAUUUUAAUAAUAAUAUCAAUAAAAAUAAUAUAAAAAACUAAAAUGGGAAUCAAAUACAAGCGACAUAAGGAAAAAAAAAAUCCUUACACUGUACAAAGAAAAUUUGCAAAUAUAGAAAACAGAUUAAAAAAAACUAAAAAAAAAUUAGAAAAAAUUUCAAAAUAUGGUCCAUAAACUAUUAAAUAUAUUAAUGGUUUUGGAGAGUUUGGUUUGGUGGUUGGUCCAUUAACUAUUAAUAUAUUAAUACUUCUGAAGAGUUUGGUAGCGCACGUUGUCGGGACCCAAACAUAAAAUAUUAGAUUUUUAACUACCUUCUUCUCUUCCUUGAUCACACAACAGCAACCACUUACUAUUCUGGGAUCCAACACAACAAAAAAUGUCUGUUCCUGAAGCUGGUGUUCAUGUGGGUUUCCUCUCAAGUGCUGGCAUGGGUCACCUCAACCCAUGUCUGAGACUAGCAGCAGUGUUCCUCCGCCAUGGUUGCAAAGUCACUCUCUUCACUCCCAAACCCACUCUCUCUCUCGCUGAGUCAAACCUCAUCUCUGCUUUUUCUUCUUCUUUCCCUCAAGUAACUCACAUUCACUUCAACCUCACCCCUUUGGAUCCAACCCAGGUUAACUCCGAUGACCCUUUUUUCCUACAGUAUGAAACCAUUCNNNNNNNNNNNNNNNNNNNNNNNNNNNNNNNNNNNNNNNNNNNNNNNNNNNNNNNNNNNNNNNNNNNNNNNNNNNNNNNNNNNNNNNNNNNNNNNNNNNNNNNNNNNNNNNNNNNNNNNNNNNNUUUCAUUUACUUCACCUCCUCAGCUAGAAUGUUGUCUUUCAUUGCAUACGUUUCUCUUCUUGCUGAUUCCGAUCCGGCUGCACAACCGCACCCUUCUACGUUCAUUGGUGAUGCUGUUCAAGUCCCGGGCUUCACAUCGCCAAUACCAAGAUCAUCGGUUCCUCCCGCUUUUCUUCUUCAAGGUGGCAACUCCUUUCAGAGAAUGAUCAUGGAGGACAGCUGCAAACUCACGAAGCUCGAUGGGGUUUUCAUCAACUCGUUUGAGGAACUGGAAGGAGAGGCACUAGCAGCGUUGAAUGAAGGAAAAGUGGUUAGAGGGUUGCCUCCGGUGUAUGGAAUCGGUCCCUUAAUGGCGUGUGAGUUUGAGAAUGUGGAUCAAGGUCAAAAGGGUUGCAUGAGUUGGAUACUGGAGUGGCUUGAUGAACAAGCUAAAGGGUCGGUGGCGUAUGUUAGCUUGGGGAGCAGGACUGAGACAAGGAAGGAGCAGAUAAAGGACAUGGCUUUGGGGUUAAUAGAAUGUGGGUAUGGUUUUUUGUGGGUGGUGAAGUUGAAGAAGGUUGACAUAGAAGAGGAGGAGGGUUUGGAGGAGGUGUUGGGGAGUGAGUUGAUGAGUAAGGUGAGGGAGAAGGGUGUGGUUGUGAAGGAGUUUGUGGAUCAGAUCAAGAUUCUGGGGCACCCUGCAGUGGGGGGGUUUGUGAGUCAUGGAGGGUGGAACUCAAUAACUGAGACAGUGUGGGAGGGAAAGCCUAUUCUGACAUGGCCUCAGAAUGGGGAUCAGAAGAUGACAGCAGAAGCCAUAAGGAUGAGUGGGGUGGGGAUUUGGGCUGAUGAGUGGGGGUGGGGGACAGAAAAGGUGGUGAAAGGGAAGGAGAUUGCAAAGAGAAUCAAAGAGAUGAUGAGCAAUGAGUCUUUGAGGGUCAAAGCUGGAGAAAUGAAGGAGGCAGCCAAGAAGGCUUGUGGUGUUGGUGGGAGUUGUGAGGUUAUCAUUAAGAGACUAAUGGAGGAGUGGAAGAGGAAUGCUCAAGUCACAUGAGCAUUAGGGUUUAUGGUUUAGCACUCAAUACUAUUUUGCCUAUUCACAAUAUUAUGUUUAAGUGAAUUUGAAUUUAUGUAAGAAAAGAAUAUUAAUUUAGUGUUCGUUAUGGAUGUUUUGUGUUGCUCUCGUCGAAAUAAGGUCUGAUGAAUUUUGAGAUGGUUAUCAGAUCAUAUCCUUGUAAGUUUUAUGGAGCGGCUCAAAGGAAAAUAAAGGUUCCACUUGCAGAAGAUUAUCCGAUACUCAAGUCAAUGAGAACAUAAAUAUAGUAUAUAAAGUAAGUAUAGUGUAAAAUAUGAGUUGAAUUUACUUCCUCAAUGUAGUGGUCUAUUUAUAAGUUUUCAUGGGCUUGAACAAAUGAUAUUGGUUUUCAAUGGCCUUCAUGAGGCAUAAUUAAUUUUAAUCAUUGCAUAACAAAAUUCAAGUAUAAUGUAAUAAAAUCAGAGUAUUAUGUGAUAAAAUCUAAAUAUAAAGGAAUUAUAUAAUGACACCUGAAUAUUUUAUUAUUAAAGUGAAAAAAACUAUAUAAAUAGAAAAUUAGUUAUUCAGGUUUCAUUUUAAAAGAACCACCAUCUGUCUAGAAAUUUCUUUUUCCUUUCCUCUCCCUUCUCUCUAAGAUUCUGACCUCCUCGCUUAUCAGUUUGAUUAUCAGAGUCUGUCAUUGGACUCCUAGCAGUGAACUCUACUAGAUUGCCCGAUCAGAAUCUUAGAUAGAGUAAGUUCAUUCUUGGCUCAUUUUUCUUUGAGUUAGUUUUGAUUUGGUUAGGGUUGUCUUUUAGUUAAGUUUGCAUGUUAGGUUUUUAUCUUCAUAAUUAGUCUUUGUUAGAUCAUGGUCCUAGUGAUAUAGUUAGAUUUGUGAUCAAGACUUUGUGGUGCAGGUUAGGUUAUCCUUAAGCUUUUGGUGGGUUGGAGCUCUUAGUGAGCAUAUGCUCAAGUACAGGUAAGGGAAGCUAGUUUUAUUUUUAAAAUAGAACCCUAGGUUAGAAGAUCUGGAUGUGGGGUGACGUGGUCAUCAAUUCCAAUUUUUGCUUGCAGAAUUGUCUCUUUUGAAAAGUAAAGUAAUAUAUUGACUGGAAUGGUUGAUUUUGAAUCUUUUAUAUUGAUUUUAAGGUGAAUAAUUUGUUGAAAGUGUUUGUGAUUGAGAAGUGAAAUUGUUUGAAUGAUGAUAUAAAUGAGUUGAAUUGUUUUUUAAUAUUUACUUAAAUGAGAUGUUUGAUUUAGAGAGCAUAUAUUUGGAACUUAGUUAUGUGUUUAAUUGAAUUUUGAGAUAUAUUUGGAUUGUUUAGAAAGUUUAAAAUAUUUUGUGAUUAAAUGAUGCAUUGAUGUGUUAAAUUAUGUAUGUAAUGAGGUGAAAGUGUGGUCAAGACAUAGUAUUUUCAGGAAAGGAAAUACCGUGUUGAGAUUGUUAUUAGGGUGUAUUGAUUUGUAAGUGUCUUGUGAAUGAGACGAUCCUAACUCUACUGAUAUAAUGGAAUCACAUAGAUGAAGCUAUUCAGUUGGUGAGAGUCGAAGGAAGUUCAUUUGGCUGAGUCUGAGGUUUGAAAGAACUGAUCAGAGAAGAUCAAAUGGAUUUACCCUGUCAUAUGAGACGAUGAGAUAUUGAGAUUGAUUAUGCGCAUGACUGUGUGGAUUCAGUGAGUAGUAUGACAGGUGCAGGUCUCUGGAUGCUAAUUUCAAUACACGAGUCUUCUGGAAGUAUAGUCAAGUGUCUAUGUUUUGUGAGUCAGUAGAAGUCUAACAUGUGAAAGAUGAUUUAUUAAUUUUGAUAGACACUUGAUGGUUAUGUGAAAUGUUUAAGAAAUUGUAUGAGAGUUUAUAAAUUUUGUGUAUGAAUUUGAAAUUAAAUUAUAUAGAAAAAUUUGUUAUAGCUAGCUUACUCUGUUAUUUGUUUGUGUUUGUUUCUUUAUCUGUGAUGAUCGUGUUGUACACGGGAGCAGAUGAGAUUGCGGGUAAUAGAGCUCCUAAGUGAGCAGUUGGAGGAUGUGAUAGUUUUAAUUUGAAUGUUCUAUUUGUUUUUUUUUUAACUUUUGAUGUAUAUAUUAAAAUCCCUAUGAAGAGGGAUAUUUUUUUUUAGAUAUGAGAUAGUUAUAUAUAUGCAUAUCUUAAGGAGAUAACAUUUGUUUUACUUUUAUUUUAUUAUAUAUGGGGUAAAAGUUAGGGAUGUUACAAAGACACUUAUGUUUGACUAAAGCUUAUAAAAAUUAUGUUUUACAUUUUGUCUGGACACGGAAUUAAAACCAAAAAAAAAAAAAUCUAUUGAACUUUGAUCUAACAUGAAAUUUUAUGAUUUAAUUUCUAUAAUUUAAUUCAUUUUUAAAAGUUAUUUGUGUUUUAUCCAAAAAAAUAUUGAACAUAACAAACAAACCAAUUAGUUUUAACAAGCAAUAUAAUAAAGUAUAAGGAAAAUAACAAUUAAUAAAUUAAAAUUUCUAAAGAAAAGUAUAAAAAAAAACUAUUGAUUAUAAAAAAUAUUAAUUACAAAAAAAUUAUUCAAAAAAAAACUUCUAAUUCUAUCCUAAAUGUAAGAGAUAACAAAGAGUAAAAGAAAAUAUAAAAAAUUAGAUGAGAUAAGAUUGCAUUGAAUGCAUAUAAUUAUGACUUAUAAAAUUUUUAUAAAAUUAUUAAAUAAAAAUCAAUUUUAGAGAUAAAAUAUAUUUAGUUGUUAUACUGACUAAAUUAAAUAUUAUUAUUAUAAAAAUUAUUAGUCUUUAAAUUAAUUUCUAUUAGUGAUAAAUAAUUUUUAAAUUAAUAUAUAAUUAGAUACCAAAAUUUUAGAUGUUAACUUUAGAGUUUAAAUAAUUGGUAGUUAAAAUCUGGGUAACUAAUUAGAUAUCAAUUUAGAAAUUAUUUAUAAAAAGAAUAUAAACUAAUUCGAAACGGAUGAGAAAAAAAAAUGAAUGAGAGGUAAGAUAUGUAAGACAAACAAAUUUGGACCAAGGAAUUGUAGGAAGUUUUAAUCUUCUAAAAUCAUUUUUAACCUUGAUUCUAGUGUGUCAUUCUAAUUAGUUAAGUAAAAGGAGAGUGAUGCUAAAUUUUUUAUAUUAAUUUUAAUAAAUUUAUGUGUUUUAUUAGCCUUUUGUUUAUUUUCAAACUAUACCUUGUUUUACUUUCUUUAUUUUUUUAUACUCCUAUUAUUUACUUUUAUCUCAAGUUAUGCAUUUACUCUCUUUAUUUAUUUAUAAUUAUAUCAUUUAAUUUAUCUCUAGUUACAUACUAAUCUAUUUAUUAAUUUAUAGUCAUGUCAGUUAGUUUAUUACUAGAUAUUUCAUUUAGUUUAUUACUAGAUACACGCUAAUACUUUUUACUAGAUUUAUAAUUAUAUAUUAUGUUAUUUGAUUUAUAUCCAGUUACACUAGUCUAUUUUAUUAUAUUUAUAUUUGUAUCUUUUAGUUUAUCUCUCACUAGUCCUCUUUGUUAAAAUUAUGUCUAUAUAAUUUUAUUUAUCUUUAGUUUUACAGUGGUUUUUUUAUUUAAAUUUCUUGCUUUCAUUCUUAUUUCAAAUACUGGUUAUUUUUAAAAAUUCAAUCUAGAUCCAAUAAAAUGGAUUGGAUUAAAAUUCAAAUCCAUUUUAACAAGAUGAAAGUUAUUUGGAUUUUUUCAAAUCUAUUUAAAAAAGGUUAAAUCUAGAUUAAAUUCACUUUGUCUAUUAGAUUAAAUCCAUCUCGAUCUGAACAUAGACUGACUUAUCUUGACAUAGGCUCAAGCCGACUCGACUAGACCUAGACUUAGAUCAACUAGACUAGCCCUGAGUCAAGGCUGACUUGACUAGAUUUGAACUCUGACCGACUUGACUUGAUAUGGCCCAAGACGACUCGACUUCACCUGAGCUAGGAUCGACUCCACUCGACCUUUCACUCUGCAAAAAGAAAAAUUUGCAAAUUAAGAUAAAAACUAAAAAAAAAAAAACAAAUUUCAACUUCAAACAUAUCACAAUUUGACCAUAAACUAGUUGGUGGUAGGUCCAUAAACAAUUAAAAUAUUAACACUUUUUUGGAGAGUUUGGUGGUAGGUAAUAGAAAUAAAUCCUCUGUGUUGAUUAUGCGGAAGAACUCCUUGAAUGAUGAAAAGAACCUGUGAUGAGAAUGAUGCAGAGAUGAGAUGAAGGGAAGAUAAACCCUAAAAGGGUUGAAAGGUUCUGACCAGAGAAAAAAGCAAAAAAGUGAAUCGUAUUAUCAAAUUGAAUUAAGGGAGAGAAUACUGAAUUACAAAAAGGUACAAUCUGUAAAGUAAAAACCCACUAAAUCUAAGAUACAUGGUGACAGAAAUAAAAGAAGGCCCAAGGCUCCAAAGCCUAAACAACCCAAAAUAAUAAAAAAAUAUGCUAACUAACACCCCCCCCCCCUCAAGCUGGGAAUAGAUAUUUUGCAUUCCCAGCUUGGACUUGAGAGUAGUAAAGGUGGAAGCAACCAGUGGUUUAGUGAGGAUGUCAGCAGUUUGCAUGGAGGAAGUGAUUGGAAGCAGCUUGAGAAGACCAACAUUAAUUUUCUCUCGGACAAUAUGACAGUCAAUCUCUAUGUGCUUCGUUCGCUCAUGAAAAACCUGAUUUGAGGCAAUAUGAAUUGCUGACUGAUUGUCACAGAAUAGAAUUGCAGGUUCAAUGUAGGGGAUACCAAGAUCCUUAAGAAUGUAAGUCAGCCACUGAAUUUCACAAGUGGUUGCUGCAAGAGCUCUAUACUCGGCUUCUGAAGAACUUCUUGAGAUAGUAGGUUGUUUCUUGGACUUCCAUGAUAUAAGAGACUCACCCAAGAAAAUGGCAAAGCCAGUAACAAAUUUUCUGGUUUCAAAACAUGAGGCCCAAUCAGAAUCACUAUAGCCUCGAAGCUGGUUGUUACUGUUCUUGUGGAGAAAAAUUACCGAGCCAGGAUUACCCUUAAGGUACCUUAGGAUGCGAAAAACAGCUUGUUGAUGGUGCUUUGUAGGAGAAGAGACGAACUGACUUAAGUUGUUGACACUGAAGACUAUGUCAGGCCGCGUGUUGGUGAGAUAGAUCAGUCGUCCAAUAAGUCGGCGGUAGGUAGAUGAUUCUUUUUCAUUGAUUUGGACGUUGUCCGUGGAAGAAAGGCGAGAGGAAUGAGACAUGGGUGUAGGCAUGAGGGCACAAUCCAACAUUCCCGUUUCAUGAAGAAGAUCUAGAGUGUACUUUCUUUAACUGAUAUGUAAACCAGAUUUGUUGCGAGCCACUUCUAGUCCCAAGAAAUAUGCGAGGUCCCCUAAAUUUUUAAUUAUGAAUUGUUGAUCCAACAACUUAGUGAUAUGAGUGAUUUCCUCAUCAUCGUUUCCAGCAAGUACAAUAUCAUCCACAUACACAAGAAGAGCAGUGAGUUUAGUAUGAGUGUGUUUUAAAAAUAAUAAAUGAUCAGCAGAUGACAAUGUGUAAUUAUGUGAAAGCAAGAAAUUAGAUAAUUUGGCAUAUCAUUGUCGGCUAGCUUGACGAAGACCAUAAAGAGAUCUUUGGAGUUUGCAAACGUGGUUUGAUGAGGGGAGAGUGAGACCGGGUGGUGGCUGCAUAUACACUUUCUCAAGGAGAUCUCCAUGUAAAAAUGCAUUAUUGACAUUGAGUUGUUUGAGAAUCCAAUCAUUGGAAGCAACAACAGCAAGUAGUAGAUGCAAUGUUGUCAAUUUUGCAACAAGGGCAAAAGUAUCUAUGAAGUCAAGGCCUUCUAAUUGUGUGUACCCUUUGGCAACUAAGAGUGCCUUGUAUCGGUCAAUAGACCCGUCGGAUUUGUGCUUUAUCUUGUAAACACAACGACAGCCAAUAGUCGUCUUCCCAAGCGGAAGUGUGGUAAUCUGUCAAGUGUGAUUGGCAUCAAGUGCAGUCAACUCCUCUUGCAUAGCUUGUUUCCAGCAGGCAUGUUUCGAAGCUUCCCUGUAAGUGUGAGGCUCUGAAUGGGAAGAGAUAGAAAGAAUAGUGCAUUUAAAAGCAGGAGAUAAAGAUUUAUAAGAAACAAAAUUAUUAAUGGGAUAUUUAGUACUUACACUGUUUGUGGUUGUCAAAUCAGUUUGAAAAUCUGCAAGGUAUGCUGGUGCCUUUCUUUGUCUAUUUGAUCUCCUCAGUGGUAUUUUCAGAUCAUCAAUUUGUGUAUCAUCCAGGGUCUCUUCAUUUUGGUUAGGAUCCAUGUCCACAUCAAUUUGUGCAGUACCCAUAGUUUCAUGAGGAUGACAGUCAUUUUGAAAAGUAAUAUCACUACUUGAAUCAUAAUUGUGAGGAAUAGGCAAAGAAAGGUUGUUGGAAUUCAUACAGGAAUCUUUGUUCAAAUGAUAUGGAAAAUGGUUUUCAUAAAAGAUAAUAUUCCUUGAUACCUCAAUACUAUGAUUUUUAAGAUUUAGAAAAAUAUAUCCCUUUGUGUUGGAAGACAAACCGAGAAAGAUACCAUGCACAGAACGAUCAUCAAGUUUCUUUCUAUGUGCAGUGAGCGUGCUAGAGUAACACAAACAUCCAAAUACGCGUAAAGAAGAAAGAUCAUAUUGAUGAGAAUCAAAUAAAGGAGGCUUUUAUUAAAGAAGGAAGAGGUCAUUCACCUGCACAUUUGAAGUUUUUCCUUCUAGUCUUCUCAAAAUUAAAAGAAGACAUAAAAUAAAUAAAAGAAAUACAUAAAAUAAAGAUGAGGCCCAAGCCCAAGCCCAAGAAGGCCAAAGCCCAAAAAGCCCAAGUCCAUCCCAUGAGGGGCAAGGCCAAGCAUUAAAUAAAAGAGCAUCAUUUGAUUUACUCUUGUAGGAGGUGUGGAUAUUAAAUAAAGGAGUGUGAAUAUGUAAAAGAAAGUCACAUUGUCCAUGUGACUUAAGAGAAUAGGUGUAGGUGUAGUUUUUAGGAGGUGUCAUAGUAGAAAAAGGUCACACCUUCCAUGUGACUUGUUUUUUGUGGGAAUUUCAAAUGAGUUUCAUUUGAAUUUUCUCACCUAUUUUUCAACACCCUCACACUAUAAAUAGAGGUGUGGGCUCUUGUAAAAUUCAGAUUGGAAAUUGGCUAUAGAGAAACUCUACUCAAAUUGAGAGAGAAUUGUGUGAGAACUUUGUCUUCUCCUCUACCUUGUCUUAUCUUGAGUGCCUUGGUUCUCUCAAGUGGCGGCAUUUGCUCACUUAUCUUGGAGCCUUCACACUUCAAGUGGCGUGACCAUUAACCAAGCUCUCCAUCCUCAUAAGUUCUUCUCUCCUUCAUCUUUUCAUUUCAUUUCCAAGUUCAUCCGAUUUCAAAAACAUGUUUAGGUUCUUUCUAUUCGGUGUUUUAAGCUUAAAUUCUUGUACUGUUCGGUUCUUAUACUUUUUUGCUGGAUUCAAUUGUUUCUUCUUCAUUUCUUCUUAAUUUGUUUGGUGCAUUUAAGUUCUUAAGCUUUUUAAUCGGUGCAUUUGCUUUCUUGUUCAAUUUAGUCGGUUCAAUUGGCAAGAAAUGGGUCUUCCAUGUGAGUUUGGUGUUUGGUGCAAGUUUUGGUGAGUUCUUGAAACAUAGAACAUUGAUCCAAUUCUAUUAAAAGUGCCUAUUCAUUCUCCAACUCAAGUUGAUUCCAUAAAAUAUCAAAGAAUCAUUUACAUCUUGCUAGUGGAAUCAUAUCACAUAUGGUCUACCAUUCAAUUUUUCAUAGGGUGCAAUGUUGUGUAACAAAGGAGUGGGAGUGCAAUUGAUUAAAAAAAUAGCAUGUUGUACAACAAAAUUCCAGAAUAAAUGAGGUAAAUUUGCUUGAAAAAACAAGGCACGGGUAACAUUUAAAAUGUGUUGAUGUUUUCUUUCAACAAUACCAUUUUGUUCAGGUGUUUCUACACAUGUGGUUUGAUGAACAAUGCCUUUAGAAGAAAAUAAUUUUUUCAUGGCAAAUUCAGCACCAUUGUCAGUGCGAAUAGUUUUAACCGUAGUUUUAAACUGAUUUUCAACGUAAGCAAUGAAAUUAACAAUAUGAUUUCUAACUUCAGAUUUUGUGUGUAAAGAAAUAACCCAAGUAAAACGUGAAAAAUCAUCCACAAUGGUUAAAAAAUAUCUAAAACCGUGCAUUGAAAUGACAGAACAAGGACCCCAAAUGUCCAUAUGCAGUAAUUCAAAGAUGCUAGCAGUAUGAGAUUUACUUAAAGUAAAAUGGAGUUUCUUUUGUUUGGCACGAUGACAUACAUCACAUACAUGCGGUUUUAUAGUGCCACAGAUUAAUGUCUUUGACAGUAUAAUUGAAAGAAUGAGCAAUAGUGUGUGUAGCAGUAUUACGAAAAAAAGAAGAUUCAAAAGCAUACAAGCCAGCUUUGACACUAACUAUACCAAUCCUCUCUUUGGUUGUAUUGUCCUGUAUCAUAUAACUAUUGGAGGAGAAAAUUAAACUGCAGUUCAUAUUUAAAGAAAUUUUAGAAGUAGAUACAAGAUUAAAGGAAAGUCGAGGAACAUAUAAGACAUCAAUGAGGUAAAAUUUGUGAUUAAAAAUCACAGUUCCAGAAUAUUUUGCAAACACAUGAUGGCCAUUAGGUAGACUAAUAGAAAUAGGUUUAAUGCUUUUGUACGAAGUAAACUCAGAUAAAGAAGAACACACAUGAUCAGUUGCUCCUGAAUCUAGAAUCCAAUAAUUUCUACCAUGUUGUAAAUUAUUUAAGGUAAGAAUAUUACCAGUUGAAGACCUCUCUGCCAUUUUAUGAUUGGUGUCUGCAGUGAACGAGCCCACCUGAUUUACUUGAAUAUUGGUUGCAGUGUUAUUGUUGGUGCUUUGUCUAAACAAAUCUGACAAAACUUGAUAUUGUUGUGUUGUGAGGUGAUAUUCUCCUUUUUCUUGUUCUUUUUGGCAAGGCUCAGAAAGCACAUCAUCAGAUAUAACAAUAUUAUUAACCUGAUUGGUUUUACUACCAUAAAACUUGUAUCCAGGAGGAUACCCGUGUUUCUUGUAGCAAGUUUCUAUGGUGUGACCAUUUCUUCCACAGUGAGUACAUAUUUUCUUAUUCCCAUUAUUUUUGAAGGACUUAUUUUCUUGAUUAGGAAACCCAACCUUCCGAAAACAAACGUUCUCUGUAUGGCCAUUUUUACCACAAAAGGUGCAUAUCACAGAAGAAGAGAUGUGAUUAGAAUUAGCACUAUUAAUAUUUGAGACAGAAAGUUGUUGGCAGUUGACGUUCUUGUUGCACCACAAGAGAAAAAAAAAUUGUUAUAGGAGGUAUAGGCUCCAUAAGAAGUACAUGAGAUUUUAUGUUAUGAUAUUGUUCAUUUAACCCCCUUAGAAACUGCAUGGCCUGGUCUUCACAUUUUCUUUGAUUGAUAAGAGAAGUAAAAGCAAUAGAGCAAGAACAUUUUGUCUCACAAAUGCAUACAAGAUUAGGUCUAAAGUUUUCUAGUUCAUCCCAAAUUAUUCUCAGCUUAGUGAAAUAGUCAGUUACAGUCAAUUCACCUUGAUGUAAAAAAGCAACUCCCAUUUGUAAAUAUGAAAUUCUAGAUAAAUCCCCCUGAGAAAAUCUACUUUUCAAAUCAUUCCAUAUAUCUAAAGUUAUACCCAUCCAUACGAUGCUUUGUCUAAUGGGAAUAGAGACAGAAUGGACUAACCACGAGACGACCAUAUUGUUGCAUCUGUACCAAGCCGAGUAAGUGGGAUGGUUCUUGAGCGGACAUGGGCAUGUGCCAAGGACAAACUCCACCUCAUUUUUUGCGCUCAACGCCGUUAUAAUCGACAUACUCCAAGAGUGAUAGUUUGUAGAGUCCAACGCUGGCGAGACCAAAGGGACAACAGGGUUCUCACUGGGAUGGAGAUAAAGGCAGUUGUUCAUCAAGUUCAAUUGUUCCACCAAUUGAUUUGUUGCAUUCGGCUGAGACAAUUGCACCGUGGUUCCUUCAGUUCCAGCGGUUUCAGCCAUAUCUGAAAGAGAAACAAAAAAUUCAAGAUUUGGAACAAGAAAUCGUGAAGAACGAAAUUCAUAGAAGAAGACGAAAUUCAGAGUGCACAGCAGUGCUCUUCAAAGAAGACCUCUGAUACCAUAAUAGAAAUAAAUCCUCUAUGUUGAUUAUGCGGAAAAACUCCGUGAAUGAUGAAAAGAACUUGUGAUGAGAAUGAUGCAGAGAUAAAGGGAAGAUAAACCCUAAAAGGAUUGAAAGGUUCUGACAAGAGAAAAAGGAAAAAAAUGUGAAUCGUAUUAUCAAAUUGAAUCAAGAGAGAGAAUACUGAAUUACAAAAAGUAAAAACCCACUAAGAUGGCGACAGAAAUAAAAGAAGGCCCAAAGAGCCCAAAAUAAUAAAAAAAUAUGCUAACUAAUAGUAGGUCCGUAAACUAUUAAUAUAUUAAUACUUCUGAAGAGUUUGGUAGCGCACGUUGUCGGGACCCAAACAUAAAAUAUUAGAUUUUUAACUACCUUCUUCUCUUCCUUGAUCACACAACAGCAACCACUUACUAUUCUGGGAUCCAACACAACAAAAAAUGUCUGUUCCUGAAGCUGGUGUUCAUGUGGGUUUCCUCUCAAGUGCUGGCAUGGGUCACCUCAACCCAUGUCUGAGACUAGCAGCAGUGUUCCUCCGCCAUGGUUGCAAAGUCACUCUCUUCACUCCCAAACCCACUCUCUCUCUCGCUGAGUCAAACCUCAUCUCUGCUUUUUCUUCUUCUUUCCCUCAAGUAACUCACAUUCACUUCAACCUCACCCCUUUGGAUCCAANNNNNNNNNNNNNNNNNNNNNNNNNNNNNNNNNNNNNNNNNNNNNNNNNNNNNNNNNNNNNNNNNNNNNNNNNNNNNNNNNNNNNNNNNNNNNNNNNNNNCAUUCGUCGUUCGGUUCACCUUCUAUCUCCAACCCUAUCUUCUCUUUCCACUUCUCUCUCAGCUUUCAUCGUCGAUGUUUUCUUAAUUUCCCCUAUCGUCUCAAUUGCUCACAAACUCUUUUGCCCCGUUUUCAUUUACUUCACCUCCUCAGCUAGAAUGUUGUCUUUCAUUGCAUACGUUUCUGUUCUUGCUGAUUCCGAUCCGGCUGCACAACCGCACCCUUCUACGUUCGUUGGUGAUGCUGUUCAAAUCCCGGGUUUCACAUCGCCAAUACCAAGAUCAUCGGUCCCUCCCGCUUUUCUUCUUCAAGGUGGCAACUCCUUUCAGAGAAUGAUCAUGGAAGACAGUUGCAAACUCACGAAGCUCGAUGGGGUUUUCAUCAACUCGUUUGAGGAACUGGAAGGAGAGGCACUAGCAGCGUUGAAUGAAGGAAAAGUGGUUAGAGGGUUGCCCCCGGUGUAUGGAAUUGGCCCCUUAAUGGCGUGUGAGUUUGAGAGUGUAGAUCAAGGUCAAAGGGGUUGCAUGAGUUGGAUACUGGAGUGGCUUGAUGAACAAGCUGAAGGGUCUGUGGUGUAUGUUAGCUUGGGGAGCAGGACUGAGACAAGGAAGGAGCAGAUAAAGGACAUGGCUUUGGGGUUAACAGAAUGCGGGUAUAGUUUUUUGUGGGUGGUGAAGUUGAAGAAGGUUGACAUAGAAGAGGAGGAGGGUUUGGAGGAGGUGUUGGGGAGUGAGUUGAUGAGUAAGGUNNNNNNNNNNNNNNNNNNNNNNNNNNNNNNNNNNNNNNNNNNNNNNNNNNNNNNNNNNNNNNNNNNNNNNNNNNNNNNNNNNNNNNNNNNNNNNNNNNNNNNNNNNNNNNNNNNNNNNNNNNNNNNNNNNNNNNNNNNNNNNNNNNNNNNNNNNNNNNNNNNNNNNNNNNNNNNNNNNNNNNNNNNNNNNNNNNNNNNNNNNNNNNNNNNNNNNNNNNNNNNNNNNNNNNNNNNNNNNNNNNNNNNNNNNNNNNNNNNNNNNNNNNNNNNNNNNNNNNNNNNNNNNNNNNNNNNNNNNNNNNNNNNNNNNNNNNNNNNNNNNNNNNNNNNNNNNNNNNNNNNNNNNNNNNNNNNNNNNNNNNNNNNNNNNNNNNNNNNNNNNNNNNGAAUGCUCAAGUCACCUGAGCAUUAUCACUCAAUACUAUUUUGCCUAUUCACAGUAUUAAGUUAAGUUUACGUGUGAAUUUGAAUUUAUGUCAGAAAGUAAUGCAGUAGUAACCUCAACUGCAUAAAAUAGUAUGCAAACAUAUACUCAAACUGUAAUUUGUGGUUACAUUUCCAAUUUGGUUUAGUGUUUAUUUUGGGUGUUUGGUUUAGUGUAAUUUGGUUACAUUACCAAAUUUGGUAUAAUGUAAUAAAAUCGGAGUUUACAUCUUAGGAAAGAUUUUUCCUUAGAAGUAAAUAUUGACAAGGAGAAACUAGAAACUUUAAAAAGACUCCAAAUAGAAGACUCUUUCUUUAUUCACUGUCGUUGUGUUUGGUUAUUAUAGUUAUGUUUGGUUAGGUAUAUGUACUAUUGAACUGAAUUUGGAGGUUGAGAAAAUGGUUGUACUCUUCAUGUUUGGUUGGAUAUAUUUGAAGUGAAAUGCAUAGAAAAAAAAAAAUGUGUGGAAAGUGGGACAUGGUGAAUGAUUUACGUACUUAAUUCUUACAUGGUUGAAGAAGAAUGUGGACAUGCAUGGUAACAUGACUAUUUUGAUACUUAGGUUAGUCAUUCAUCAUUUAACAUGUUUUAUGUGGAGUUGUGCAUGUGGCUUCAUGAACACCUAUUUUCACAAAAAAUUUCCAUGCUCCAAAUUAAAUAUAUAAAUAUGAUACCUUCAAUUAUAAUAUUGAUUCUCCC